Molecule: long non-coding RNA, 77674 nt
Organism: Mus musculus (house mouse)
Lineage: Eukaryota; Metazoa; Chordata; Mammalia; Rodentia; Muridae
Product: predicted gene, 47340
Exons: 2
Source: RefSeq, a predicted model, not a curated record
GAGAGAGAGAGAGAGAGAGAGAGAGAGAGAGAGAGAGAGAGAUCUACAAGCAGAGAUGACAAAGCUACAAAGGAAGACAUUGCUUUGCUAAGACAAGAUACUCAAUGGAGUUGCAGAACAUCUGGAGCUCUUGAGCCAGAAAUCCAGGCUGGAUUAAAGCUGAAUCUAGUUGCAGAAGCAAAGGUACAGGACUAGGUCCUGAUGGACCAAUGGACAGAUGGACAGGUGGCAAUUUAAGUAGGCUGAUAACAGUCAUGCUACUGCAGCUAUGGGUGUCUUUUUUAUGGGAGCAGGAUGAGGAGGUCACACCUUUUCUUGAUCUGGUAUGUUCCACAGUUCUCAUUAUAUUUAUCCUGAUAUAGUUUUAAUAUGCAUACCAUCCUAACACGUUCCAAGUAUAUUUUGAUAAGUUUCUAAUUGGCACAUUUUUUUUUACUUUUAGCAAUAAAUUGUCUAAUAGCAUUUUUGUCUUGUGAAUGAUGCUGGGCAGAUUAUAAAUCAUAGAAGCUGCACAUGAAACUCCCCCCUUAUCUAAUCACAUCACAAAGGUCACCUCUGAAUACCACAGUGGGACUAAAUGUCUACCCUCUUCAUUGCUAUCAGCAGGGCUUGAAUUUCUGUAUAUGAUGACAUGAGGAAGGAUGGAUGUCCCAAGCAAGGUCUAGCUCACGCUCUAGUGCUCUACAAGAAAUAUUUCAAAAUAUGAUGGGAACAUUGUGAGCAGUAAGCCCAGAUGCAGAAAAAAAAAUCUUAGUUUCUAUUUCUUUGUUAUUAAAUAGUUUUGUUGUUGAUGGUGCUAAACAUCCUGUGAUGGCAUCAUACCUCUCAUACACGGGGACAAAGAUUUGAGGCUCCUUGCCUAUUAUUAGGAAGCUUUUUCACUAUUAUAAAAAUGCAUUGCUGGAGUAUGUUACGUUGGCUAAUACUGUUCCAGGAAAACCAUAAGUCCACACGGGAAGAGUCCAACCUCAUCCUCAGCUCCUCACUUUGUCAGCUCAUCGGACACAAAGCAACCACAAGGCUAGGCUUUCUGCUCUCUUUGUGGAGCUAGUGGCAUGAGAGAGCAGCCAUGUAUUUGAGCUAUCCUGGUCUCCUGGAGAGAGCCAGGGUGUGCUGUUGGACCUCGUUCACAUUGAACAUUUGUUCAGCAUGGUGGGAUGCAAUGUGAGUGGUGCCUGCCACAGGGAUAGGUUUGCUAGUCUUUUCAGGGAUCUUUUUGGGUUUCAAGAGAAUGCUUUUAAAAAGAAAGUAGAAGUGUGUUAACCUCUGGGCCUAAUUUACCACGUACUUGAUGUGUGUAGGCACAACGAAGGGAGUAUUCAGCUCUUUUAACGUCCCUUCAGAUUUUUCUACUUCCAUAAAUAUUUUUAACUAGAGCCUCAGUUACAAGCAUCACAUUUUCCUAACAUUACUGUUUUAGCUGAUGCUUAAAAUUGCUGCAAACUUAUCAAAAUAUGUGCAUUCAGUUUCCAGGCUGGUCUGUUUCUGAAGACUGAACCAAACCAGUCACUUCCUACUUUGUACAUUUUGCUGCCGCCGGUAGUUAAUUUUCUCUCUUAUAGUCUUCAUUAACGUGACCCAUUCUCCUUCAGAUUCUUCGCUGCUGCUUGAUUAAACAGCAUUGUUAGGUACGAUGAAGUAGGCUUACCUUGCACUGCCUUAGCAAGGCCUCUAUCUUUUAACAGUUGCUGGUAUUGGCAAGCUGCAAUGUUUGCAAAUAGCAGAUAAACAACACCUUGUAUGUACAUGCUAUUUUCUAAUUAACAUUGGGAAAGAAUUUAGGGUAAUGCUUUUAAGGCAAUGUGAACUUCAUAAUUAAUGUCUUUGUGUGCUUUGCUUUGUAAAAUAUUUUUUAUGUAAUUAUGAGAUAAUGCAGUGAGUCCUGCAUUGCUUCGGAGAAAAAUUACUAGAAAGCCAACAUGUAAAAAUAUAUCCUAGCACGUUUGUAGGAAUGCUCUAAUUUACAAAUUUCUUGAGUAUCCAUUGUUAGGAAGUAGAGCAGUGGUUUGACUAGCUGGGGCACUAUAUAUGUCCCUGGGUCAAUACCUCAUCACCUCCUUCUUAAAACCAUUCAAUGAGGGAUCUCAGUGCUUCUGGGAUAUGACACCAACUCCUUAACAAGAUUGGAGAACCCUGCAUAAUCUCAUCCAAUUCUCUCUGACUGUGGCCCUCCUACUGUGCUCAGCCACUCUCUUCCACCUCUUCUGUAAAGCCACCCCUAAGUUCCUUUCUAGGCAAGUGCUUUCUCCCUUCAGGCUGUCUGCUGUGAGUCCCGAUUGCUCUGUGGCUCAUGUUCUGUUUGUUGCAUAUGCAUAUUUUUUCACACUAUCCACAUAUCAGAUCUCAAUUGAGUUUCUUUUCUGGACACUGAGUUCCUCUUAUCGAUCUGUCACCGUGUUCUGUUAUAGAAAGAACCACAUUGCUUGUCUUCUUCACAACCAUUUCCAUUGCUGCUGAUACUCCUGUAUUACUUGUGUCUAUAAAGUCAAGGACAAUACCUGGUUUGGUCAUCCUUUUGUUUGCUUUGAACUCUGUACGUACUCAAGACCUGUUGAAAUGGGACCAGGAAGAAAUGCCUGUGUGAGCCUUUAAGCUACAGCUUACUCAGAAAAGUAACCACCGUUAGGAAUUUUUAAUGAUGGCACCUUUUUAAUACUAAUCUAAAUGACAGCAACACAGAAGAUUUUAAAAAGUCAAACUAUAGUCUCCCUUCAAAAGGAACUCUUAAAGAAAUAAAAGAUAGAUUAAAAAAGUAGAAAACGAUUACUGUGAGGUCUUUCUGGUUGGGUAAAUAUAUUCUCUGGUUCUUUAUUGCUCCCUAUGAGGGAUAAGGAGAACACUCAGAGCCUGCUAGGUAAUAUAGCCUCCUGCAUUUUUCAUAGAGUCUCUGAGGCUUUCAAGCAUUUGUGAACAAGAGCAGUGAUACCUUUCGAUUCUCUAUACAGUUUUUCUUACAAAUUAGCCAUUUACUUAGCGACUUUAUUCAUGAUAUUUUUGUGUUUACCCAAGAUUUUGAAACAUUGGCUAAUAACAGAUUUAUAUAUUUGCACAAGAUUUGGGUUUUCAGGGUUCAUAUUUGUUCUAUAAACAUAUUAAGAUUGUAGCUACUCAGCAGUUGUUUAUUCUCCAAUACAUGUGGAUAAAAGAUUGUCAAAUUUUGUUUAUGUUUUGGAGUAUCUCUGAGUGGGUGUCUAGAAUUUACUACUUGAGUCUUGGUAGUGAUGGUGAUGGAGGAAUGGAGAGGCGAGCUCACUCAUGCUACGACCAAGCUCGGGUAUGCACACACACAUUAGUUCACACAGCAGCGUUCUCCACAAACAGAUGUUGCUGGCAGGUGUUCUGCGAUGCUUGACUAGUAAUGCCUGUCUCCUGCUAGGUACUCUCUGAAAGAUAACCCUGUUCCCUAGGGCAAAACUAGAUUCUCCUCUGGCAACUUGCAGCUGCCAUCUUCAGUGUGUUUCAAGCCACAUUCAUAACCACUUUCAGGCUAUCUGCUGGGUUAGAGGCACUGUCCUGUGCUGAUUUCUGGGUUCUACUUCUGUUGGGUCCAACCUUUGAGGUCAUCCAUCCCUUCACUUUCUCCUCCCACAGUGUUCUUGUUAGUACCCCCUUUACUUGAGUAGUGGUAUUUUUUUUUUUUUAGUUUGCUAGAAAGGCAGUUUCAGGGAGGCCAAGCUAAGUUUCUGGAAGGUCACUUGCUAGAAAAGAGAAAACACAAAAUUGGAAAAAAAAAAAGAAAAAGAAAAAGCUCUCUACAGAGACAUAUUAGUAUUAUAAAGCAUAUAGUAUCGAUGGCUUUCCAGUUUCUUAACCUCUGACCUAUGGCAAACACUCAUUUUUUUUUUUUUUCAAAAUCUGCUGUGGUGAUAUAGCUCAGUAAUACGAGAGCACUUGCCUAGCAGGCAGCAGGUCCUAGAUUUUAUCCCCGCACUACCUCCAAAACCCAAAUACAAACCAUACAUUACUGCUAUAAUUUUAUGCUCAAUACCACAGGAACUCUAUUGUAUAAUAUUGACUGGCUGAGAAGUAUAAAGAACCUUUCCUGGAAGGCUUUGUUUUCGGUUCUUAGCGGGUACUUUCUUAGAUGAGGAGAGUAAAAUUGUAUUCAGCUAUUUCAUAGAUUCCUUUUAUCCAGAAGGGGUAGGGGUCCAUUAGCUCCCAAUAUUGUUUCAGCUUUUCUCAUAGAUAAUGGGCUUUUCAUCCACUUGUUUACAAACAUCGUUGAAAAUGCUUUUUUGUCAAGAGGACCUUAAGUCUAAUAGAAUGUUGAUGAACUAAAGUGGUGCUUGGUUUUUUUUUUCUGUUUUUGUUUUUGUUUUUUUGUUUGUUUUUUUGUUUUCUUAGAGUGUUAUGGAGGAACCAGUAGAAAUUUAGACUCUGGAAAUCAGAGCUUGAAAAAUAGCUGAUUGCUGUUUUUCUGAGUGAUGUCACAUUUCCUAUCUUUAUUUAUCCAUUCAAAUUUUAAUUAAACUAAAUUACUAAGAAUUUGAUUUUUCAAUUUCAUUAGUCUUAUUUUAUGUGGUGAACCACCACACAGGGCUAGUGGAUGCACAGUGGCUAAUGCACAGAACAGUCCCACCAUUGCGCGAGUUCUGUUGGGCCGAGCUACUGGUCAGAAUGACAUGUAGAAAAAAACGAAACGAAACGAAAUGAAACGAAACGAAAAAACGUUAGGGGCCUAUGGUGAGGAUCAGUGGGUAAAGGCAGUUAUGGCGAAUCGUGGAAACUUGAGUUCAUCUCUGGAACUCACGUGGUGGAAAGAGAACCAACUCUUUUUAUUUGUAUUCUGAUUUCUACACACACACACACACACACACACACACACACUUGAAUAAAUGUAAAAAGAUAAUGAAAAAUAUGUCAUAAAAGGCAAAGCCCCAAGUUAGACCAGUGGACAAGAACAGCCAGAGAAGGGCUUUUCAUAUUUAUUUUUUAUAAUCAAGUACAUAUGCUUAGAAUAGGAGAUGAGCAUUACUCUGGAGACCAAGGGUAGUGGUUUCUUCUCCUGGUAUAAAUUUAGUGAAACUUAAUAUUUUUCGUUAGAGACAUGACAGUCUAGUUCCUAAGUUAGUAUUUGAACUGUUUGUGUUAGCUUUGUUAACAAGGAAAAACCAGACACUUAUGCAGGGAUUAGUUUAGCAUCAUGCAAGUGUAUAGAAAUAUUACACGGUGAUUAGUUACCCAUAAAAAUUAUUUGAUAAUUUUUGAUUUUGAAAUGGACAUCUCGACUCUUUGCAAAUGCUUUCUGUGAUCUCACGAUGAGCUAAAUGUUGUUCCAAAGACGGUGAGGGGUUCAGCCAACAAAUGAGUAUCCUGGAAAAGGCAUUGAGGUAAAAAAGAAUUAUAGAACACUUAGAAGAAUUCGUGCAGAGUAUUUUCCAUCAUUUUGUAAAUGAUGUUAAAACACUAUGGUAUCCCUUAAUAUUGUAGUGCAAUUCAUCUGUCACAGACACUUAUUUUCUUGCAGCCAAAUGAUAAGAUCAACAGAACCGUGUGUUUCCUAAGCUCUUCCUGGAUAGAGAAUUCACUAAAGUUAAAGCUAGGAAAUUGUCAGUCAUUAAAUCCAUCCCUUCUUAGAUUUAUGUUCCAGAAAGAAUUGAUCUGAAGCAUCUAUUCUUUCAAUUACUUCAUUCCCAGUUAAUAUGAGAUCACUUCUGGCCCAGUGGUAAAAUCAAAAAGGACCCAGAAAAGUAUGUUUUAUUAUUAUUAUUUAAUCUUUUAUUUAUUUAUUUAUUUAUUUAUUCAUUCAUUCAUUCAUUCAUUCAUUUACAUUCCAGAUUUUAUCCCCCACCCCACCAUCCACCCUUGACUGUUCCAUAUGCAGUACCUCCUCCUCAACCCCUGUCUCCAUGAGGAUGUCCCCACCCCCCAUCCCCCACCCAACCAGACCUCUAAACUCCUGGGGGCCUCUAGCCUCUUGAGGGUUAGGUGCAUCUUCUCUGAUUGAACACAGACCCAGCAGUCCUCUGCUCUAUAUGUGUUGAGGGCCUCAUAUCAGCUGGUGUAUGCUGCCUGGUUGGUGGUCCAGUGUUUGAGAGUUCUCAGAGGUCCAGGUUAUUUGUGUCUGCUGGUCCUCCUAUAGGGUCUCUCUCCUCCUCAGCUUCUUCCACCUUUUCCCUAAUUCAACAACAGGAGUCAGCUGCUUCUGUCAAUUGGUUGGGUAUAAAUACCAGCUUCGGACUCUUUCAGCUUCUUGGUGGGUCUUUCAGAGGGCAGUCAUGCUAGAUCCCUUUUUGUGAGUGCUCCAUAGCCUCAGUAAUAGUGGCAGGCCUUGGGACUUCCCCCUUGAGCUGGAUCCCAUUUUGGGCCUGUCUCUGGAUUUUUCUUUUCCUCAGGCUCCUCUCCAUUUUCAUCCCUGCAGUUCUUUCAUAUAGGAACAAUUAUGGGUCAGAGUUUUGACUGUGGGAUGGCAAUCCCUUAAGACUGUAAUACUCCCUGGGGAUUUAGAGAGUAGGAGUGACUUUAAGUGGUACUCCAAAGAAGAUUCAUCAAUACUUAUUAGGAACAAUUUUGCCUGGAAAACUAUUGUAUGGUUUUCUGCAUUGUAAUUACAAAUUGUUAUAGUCAUAGAUAACACAGGCAGUAUAUGAUUUAUUGUGAAGAUGAAGACAUUUAGUUUCAGGGUGUGGCAGUUUGAGUGAGAAUGGCUCCCAUGGGCUCAUAUAUUUGAAUGCUUGCUCUCCAGCUGAUGGAACUGUUUGGGAAGGAUUAGGAAGCGUUGCCUUAUUGGAGGAAGUGUGUCACUGUGGGGUUCAGGGCUUUGAGAUUUCAAAAGUCAAUGGCAUUUCUCCUUAGCUCCCCCCUCCCUUACUUUUGGAUAAGGACGUACGCUCACACACACUGUUCCUGCCAUACCUACCUGCCUCCUAUUAUGCUCUCUGCCAUGUCAUGAUGGUUAUGAACUUUAACCCUCUGCAACCAUAAGUCCACAUUUCAAAGCUCUCGUUUAUAAAUGGUCUUGAUUAUGGUGUUUUGUCAGCGCAACAGAAAAGUAACUAAGACACAGAGUGAGCAGUGCAACUUUUCCAAUGUUGGCUCUUUGUUAAUGUCACUGUUUCAGGUUUCAGGCUGUCAGGCCCUGGAUGUUUAUCUUCAGGUCUUCUGAGCCACUGUAGAUCUGGAACAGAGUCUAGGGUAGGAGAUAGUUUCAUUGACUGAGACCUCAAAGAUGGCACCCAAGCAAGAGCCAGGUCCUUUAAACAAGGUGGCCUUUGCCAUCUGAUGCUUCUAAGCAUUAGGUCUUUGGAAGCUUUAUCAUUCACUUUCCUUAACACAAGUUUGCCCCUGCAAACCCCAAGCUGGUGCUCAUUUGUGGCAAAGAACAACAAGGGAGCAGAUGGAUCCAAAGCUUAUCUUCACAGUAGUUGACAUGAAUUGGUACUCGGUCUCCACAUUCCAGAGCUUACUAGAGCAGCUGUAGCCAACAGGGUUGCCUGCCUGUGAGAUAUUCACUAAGCUUAUGGCCAGGUGAGAGCACUGAAUUUGUUCAGUAACCCUACUCUGAAUGUGGUGGCCAUUUUGUGGUAUAAAGUUUCUUCAGAUCAUGGCUUUUGGGAGCCUUUUUGGAAUUCUACUCCGUUCCUCUGCUUAGUUUUCAGCCAAAACUUCUUCAUGGCUCACUCACCCUCCACCCAUCCACUCAUCCUGCAAGAGUACUAAAAUUUUAGUAGAUAUGAACCCCAACUUUGGAGAUCUACUGUCUGGAGAUUUUUCAUGAGGAACAUAUACCCCAGCCUUCUCUGGGUCUCAUUUUAUCAAAUAGCAGCUGAUGUCAAAUAGCAGGUCACAAAAGGCUUGAGAGCAUUCUUCCCCGGAAGUUUCUAAUCUUUUAGCUUUCUUUCUUUCUUUCUUUCUUUCUUUCUUUCUUUCUUUCUUUCUUUCUUUCUUUCUGACAACCCUUGGGGUCAGCUCUUCUUUUCUUUCCCUAUGCCCAAAGUGAGGGCAUUGGGAUUUUGUGAGUGGGUGGAUCUAAUCAUUGUUCUCAAGACUCAGCCUCUUUGGAAGGUUGGAUCUUGAAAGGUGGGACAUGAUCCCAGGUCUGGCCAUCUCUAUACUAGCUUUGAGGAGUUUGGCUGGCUGUGGGGUGAAGGGGUAUAAUCAUACUUAGUUCUCAUCUCUCACUCACCUCCUUUGCCCCAGGAUGGCUUGGUAGAUAAGAUAUACUCUCAGGCAUUCUCAGCUUGAUGUUGGGGAAUGGAUGAGAGUGCAGACCAGUGAGUGAGGAGAAGCACUCAUAGUCCUCUAAGUCUGUACUAAGUCGUGAGUCUUAAGAUCCUCUUAGUUCUCACCCCACCCUUUGCCAUGUAACCACUGCACCUAGUCUGCCACUAGAAUAAAAGGUCCCCCAUACUCCCCAGAGCCUUGGAGAAACAUAUUGUUGCUCACCAAUAUAUGUCUUCAAAUUGAAGACUUUUUCUUUCUUUUUUUUUAAUUUAUUUUUUAUUAGGUAUUUUCCUCUUUUACAUUUUCAAUGCUAUCCCAAAAGUCCCCCAUACCCACGCCCCCAAUCCCCUAUCCACUCACUCCCCCUUUUUGGCCCUGGGGUUCCCCUGUACUGGGGCAUAUAAAGUUUGCAAGUCCAAUGGGCCUCUCUUUGCAGUGAUGGCCGACUAGGCCAUCUUUUGAUACAUAUGCAGCUAGAGACAAGAGCUCCGGGGUACUGCUUAGUUCAUAUUGUUGUUCCACCUAUAGGGUUGCAGUUCCCUUUAGCUCCUUGGGUAAUUUCUCUAGCUCCUCCAUUGGGGGCCCUGUGAUCCAUCCAAUAGCUGACUGUGAUCAUCCACUUCUGAGUUUGCUAGGCCCCGGCAUAGUCUCACAAGAGACAGCUAUAUCUGGGUCCUUUCAGCAAAAUCUUGCUAGUGUAUGCAAUGGUGUCAGCGUUUGGAAGCUGAUUAUGGAAUGGAUCCCUGCAUAUGGCAAUCACUAGAUGGUCCAUCCUUUCGUCACAGCUCCAAAUUUUGUCUCUGUAACUCCUUCCAUGGGUGUUUUGUUCCCAUUUCUAAGAAGGGGCAAAGUGUCCACACUUUGGUCUUAGUUCUUUUUGAAUUUCAUGCGUUUAGCAAAUUGUAUCUUAUAUCUUGGGUAUCCUAAGUUUCUGGGCUAAUAUCCACUUAUCAGUGAGUACAUAUUGUGCGAGUUCCUUUGUGAUUGGGUUACCUCACUCAGGAUGAUGCCCUCCAGGUCCAUCCAUUUGCCUAGGAAUUUCAUAAAUUCAUUUUUUUAAAUAGCUGAGUAGUACUCCAUUGUGUAAAUGUACCACAUUUUCUGUAUCCAUUCCUCUGUUGAGGGGCAUCUCGGUUCUUUCCAGCUUCUGGCUAUUAUAAAUAAGACUGCUAUGAACAUAGUGGAGCAUGUGUCCUUCUUACUGGUUGGGACAUCUUCUGGAUAUAUGCCCAGGAGAGGUAUUGCGGGAUCCUCCGGUAGUACUAUGUCCAAUUUUCUGAGGAACCGCCAGACUGAUUUCCAGAGUGGUUGUACAAGCUUGCAAUCCCAGCAACAAUGGAGGAAUGUUCCUCUUUCUCCACAUCCUCGCCAGCAUCUGCUGUCACCUGAAUUUUUUAUCUUAGCCAUUCUGACUGGAGUGAAGUGGAAUCUCAGGGUUGUUUUGAUUUGCAUUUCCCUGAUGAUUAAGGAUGUUGAACAUUUUUUCAGGUGCUUCUCAGCCAUUCAGUAUUCCUCAGGUGAGAAUUCUUUGUUCAGCUCUGAGCCCCAUUUUUUAAUGGGGUUAUUUGAUUUUCUGGAGUCCACCUUCUUCUUACUCAUCUCAAAACUUCUUGUGAAUUGUUUGAACAAGUUUUGAUGACUUAGCCUACUGAAUUAUGUUAAAAAUUAUUUUCCUAAUCCACAUUAAUGAAAACACUCCAAAAUUCAACCCAGGGGUUGAAGGUAUACAUCAGUGAUAGAUUUUAUUCUUAGCAUUGUUAGGUAUGUGGUCAACUCUGUUGUACCCAAAAGCCAAGCAUACUUUACAUUUUCCUCUUUUGGCUUCUUUUUAUAGCCCAUUUGUACUGGAACAUGGUUUCUAGACCAAGCUGGCCUUGAACUCAUUGAUCUGCCUGCCUCUGCCUCAAGAGUGCUGGAAUUAAAGGCAUAUGCUACAGUAUCCAGCAUCCAGAAAUAACAAUAAAGUUGACUCAUCGAUAUAGAAAUUUUUCCUAUGUGUCUGAAAAUUUUUUUCAAUGGCCUUGUAAAGAAAAAGUACUUUGUUAUUGAUUCUCCUGGGCACAACUGAGUAACACAAAGGGUGGGAAAGAGUGCCUUAUAGUUGGAGAAGAGGAUGAUGAACUAGAGGCAAAUGAGAGGAAUCAUAAAUCCACCAUCCUUCUAGCUUUUCAUAAGGUUAUUGAUAAGACUAUGGCAAUGCAGCUUUAAUUCAUAAUUGACUAUCUUGAAAAUGUCAAUUCUAUUGAGUCUCUUUCUACAAAAUUAUUUUAAAGCUGUUAAUUUAAGAAUAGAAAUCAAUUCAAGAACUACCAUGUGCCACAUGCAAGCCAAUCCCCCCCUCUGCAUUUUGCACUGCACAGAGGUGUGGUGUUUCAGCUCUGGAGUUGAUCUGCAUUUAAAUACUGUUUCUGAUCUUCCUAAGUUGUAUCACCUUGAUCAACAUGCUCAAUACCCUUCUGUUUCCAUUUCUUCAUGUAUAAACUAGGGGCUGUUAUAGUAUUUUCCCAUAGGGUUCUUAAGAGCAUUAAGGCUGAUAGCAUCUGUACACUUGGAAUGCAGGAAGGCUCCAGAAAGAGUUGAUUGCGUUGGUUUUUAUGAGUCCACCGCAAUGAGAUUAAAGCAAUUUGCAAGCUUUAUGAGGAGAAAAUAUUGUCUAUGUAUAGAAUCACCCUUACAUAGUAUUAUUAGGAAGGAAUUUGCAGAGAAGGGUUUUGGAUCCAAAUUUGCCUUUGGCAAUUUAUGUCAGGCUGAUGGAUAAACUUAGCUAUGUAACGGAAAGCUAUACAGGGAUCAUCACAGGGAAGCUGGGCUCCCGGCUCUUUGCUAAAGCUAACGGAUAAUUCAGAUCAGGAGAACCCAAAGCAUGUUCUCCAGAAGAAGAAAUCAAUAUCAGGCUCCACAUUACAGUUUUAAUUAGUCACAUAAUUAUAUUCUCUUACAAAUUUACAAUGAAGACAUUACAUAAAAGCUUGUGUGGAAUUCACUCACACACACACACACACACACACACACACACACACACACACACACACACAGGAUACUACAGUGAGCCAGAGGGUAGGUUCCAGAGCCCCUUAGACCCAGGUAUGAAUGCCAAGGCUAAAUCCUGCUUAUUUUGUCCAUGUAGUCCACUAAAAGUACUCAAAGGCAGUGAUGGAUGCAGGUGUGUGAGCUCUUUAGUAGAUACCGCUGAAUAAGGAUGCUCAAGAAAUGUAGCAGAGGAUGGCCUUUUUGGGCAUUAGUGGGAGGAGAGGCCACUGAUCCUGGGAAGGCUUGAUGCCCCAGUGUAUGGGAAUGCCAGGGCAGGGAGGUGGGAGUGAAUGAGGAGGAGGGAGUGGGUAGGUGGGGAAACACCAGCAUAGAAGCAAGGAGAGGGAGAAUGGGAUAGGGAGUUUCCUUGGGACAGGAGGAAACUGGGAAAGAGGAUACCAUUUGAAAUGUAAAGAAAAUAUCCAAUAAAUAAUUUUUAAAAAAGGAAGAGACAGGAGGAGAAAAACACUUGACAAACAACAUAUUUCCUCCCCACAUGAGUUUCUCUGAAUGCUGCUUGCUAUUAGUCAUUCAGAUGAAAAACUUGGGAGCAAGCAUAUAGUGUAUUUUUAAAAUUUGUAUAUGGGAGUAUAUUCAUGUGCCCAUGAGUGCAUGCGUGGAAGAGAAAAGUUGACAUCCACUGUCUUCCAAUAUCAGUCUGUACCUUGUUUCGAGAGACAGUCUGUCAUUGAACAGUGUUGAGAAGACAUUGUUUGCUGAAGUUCUUCCAGGUAUCUGACUCUCAGAACCUGUUCCUUGAUGUUUUCUGAGCCUUGCGGAGAAGGUUGGGAUGUAACAGUCCCAUGAAUAGUUAUAUACAAUACAGACAAUAUCUCUCCACUUUUACGAGUUGUGAAUCUAUAUUAGUCCCUGUUCACUGUCCAAAGAAGUUGUUCUGAUAAGGACAUAGGGCUACACUGAUCUAUAAGUAUAGAGAUAAAGUAUUUAGAAGACAGUUUGAGACUAUAGCCAUUUAACAUAAUAAUAGUAGUAAAUUCUCCCCCUGGGUAGCCCCUUAACAAUGGAUUUUUGGUAUAAGGAAUGAAUUCUCUCCAAUGAAGUGGGUCUUAAAUUGAUGUAGAAAGCAGUCACAUACUCCUAUAAUAUCCAUGUCACUACUGUAUCCAUGGGUUUAUCUUGCCUGCCUGGUCGUUACUGUAGGAACAGGGCUCACAAGAUGGGUAAAGGAUGUUGACUAGUUUUGUCCUCUAGCAGACAGCAUAGCACCUUCUAGAGUUAUGACUGCAGGUUAAGUAGAGGAAAAACUUCUCUGUCUUUACUUGUUUGAUUUCUCCAUGUUCUGUGAGCAAAGAAUGUGCUUACCUUGGUUAUUGUGUCAUUUUACAUAAAUUUGCAGCUUAUCGAUUUAAUGUGUUGUUCUUUUUUAUUAUUUUUUAUUUAUUUUUUAUUAGGUAUUUAUUUCAUUUACAUUUCCAAUGCUAUCCCAAAAGCCCCCCACACGCUCCCCCACCCACCUACUCCCACUUCUUGGCCCUGGCGUUCCCCUGUACUGAGGCAGAUAAAGUUUGCAAGACCAAUGGACCUCUCUUUCCACUGAUGGCCGACUAAGCCAUCUUCUGAUACAUAUGCAGCUAGAGACACGAGCUCUGGGGAGUACUGGGUAGUUCAUAUUGUUGUUCCACCCAUCGGAUUGCAGAUCCCUUUAGCUCCUUGGUUACUUUCUCUAGCUCCUCUAUUGGGGGCCCUGUGAUCCAUCCAAUAGCUGACUGUGAGCAUCCACUUCUGUGUUUGCUAGGCCCCAGCCUAGUCUCACAAGAGACAGCUAUAUCUGGGUCCUUUCAGCAAAGUCUUGCUAGUGUAUGCAGUGGUGUCAAGCGUUUGGAAGCUGAUUAUGGGAUGGAUCCCCGGAUAUGGCAGUCUCUAGAUGGUCCAAACUUAUGGGACACAAUGAAAGCAUUUCUAAGAGGAAAACUCAUAGCUCUGAGUGCCUCCAAAAAGAAACUAGAGAGAGCACACACUAGCAGCUUGACAACACACCUAAAAGCUCUAGAACAAAAGGAAGCAAAUUCACCCAAGAGUAGUAGACAGCAGGAAAUAAUCAAACUCAGGGGCAAAAUCAACCAAGUGGAAACAAGAAGAACUAUUCAAAGAAUCAACCAAAUGAGGAGCUGGUUCUUUGAGAAAAUCAAAAAGAUAGAUAAACCCUUAGCCAGACUCACUAGAGGGCACAGGGAAAGCAUCCUAAUUAACAAAAUCAGAAAUGAAAAGGGAGACAUAACAACAGAUCCUGAAGAAAUCCAAAACACCAUCAGAUCCUUCUACAAAAGGCUAUACUCAACAAAACUGGAGAACCUGGAUGAAAUGGACAAGUUUCUAGACAGAUACCAGUUACCAAGUUAAUUCAAGAUCAGGUUAAUGAUCUAAACAGUCCUAUAUCCCCUAAAGAGAUAGAAGCAGUCAUUAAUAGUCUCCUAACCAAAAAAAGCCCAGGACCAGAUGGGUUUACUGCAGAGUUCUAUCAGACCUUCAAAGAAGAUCUAAUCCCAGGUCUUCACAAACUAUUCCACAAAAUGAAGCAGAAGGUACUCUAAUGUGUUGUUCUUAAGAGGAAAAAAAACUGAUUUAUUCAAUAACCUGUUUUGGUCAUCUACCUUGAAUGUAUUGAUAUAUAUCACUCUGAUGGGUGAUUGGAUGAAUCUUAACUGUGGUUCCUUUUAGAUGAUUAGACUUUUACUCACUAGGAAAUGUUAGAGUUGAGAAAAUCUUGUGAUGUUUCUCAUUUAAUUUUUUUUUUCUGUGAAAACUCUGAGGUUGAGGAUAUUUCUGGAACAUGCAUAAAAUAGCCAAUAGUGUUAUUUCUGCACAGAUGGAAGAAAUUGGUGGUAAAAGACUAAUGGAUUUCUUGUAUGUGUAGACUCAGGCAAUAAACUCCUUGAUCAGGAAUCAAAUGUGUAACAGUAUUAUUAUCAGUCUUAUCCAAGAGUGUCAUUUGUGUUUAAAAUUAUUCUAGAUUUGCUUGUAUGAAAAUAAUUGCACCCAUAAGACAAUCAUGUAUAAAUACAAAGAUAUAACCACACAUGCAUUAAAUGCAGAUAUAGAUUUAUGUGUUUCUGUAAGUUUAUCUACAUAAAAUUUUAUACCUUUACAUUUAAAUGGCAUAAUUACUAUGGAAUAUAUAGAAGUCAAUCAGAGUUUUUGUAGAAUUAAAUGGUAGGAGCUCCUGAGAUGGUUAGUUAUCUAUAAGACAUGAUCCUCUUCUGUUGAAGCAAGGCAUCUGAACUAGAGAUCAAUAAUAGGUUGUUUUAUUGUUGCUAGAAACUAGAAAUUUUAGGCCACUUGAUAGGCAGAGUCUGUGGGUGUCUGGCACAGUCUCUGGCUUCAAAGUCUGCUUUGGAUCCUGCCUAACUCAUUCGGCUUCCCUCCUGGGGCUUCUUGAUCACAAAAUUGAAGGCCAGCUGCUGCUUGUCAUUAGGAAACCCAGUGAGUGUCAACAUGGCGCUGGGGGCUGUCAUCUCUGGCUCAGGGGUCACCAAGGGAGGCCUGCACUCCCGCUGCUCGGGGCUUGGCAUGGGUUGUCUCCAAUCAUAAAUAGGCUCAGAGAAGAUGUUUUCAAUGUGUGUCUCUAUUUUUAAACAAUGUUUCAAACAAGAGAAUGGCCACCCUUAGGUUUCUUCCAAGUACUUUUAGUGUGAAUUGAAGGACUCUCUUUGUAUCCCCCCUGUAUCCCCCCCUAAAGCUUUAAUGAAGUAGCUCUCUGCCCUCUGCUUUUGCACUCCAGUGUGUGUUCACUCAAUCCUUUUUUUUUUCAUGUAGCAAAGCCUCAAGAAAUGCUUUAUUUUCUAGCACCACUUAAUGAAGACAAUCAUAUUAUGCCCUGUAGCUUAACAGUUGUGACUAGUCGUUUGGUGUGAUGUCUUGGUCGCUGCUCCUACAUAUGGUGCUCUUGUUCACAUAUGCUAAAUUGCUAAACUCUCCGAAAUUCGGCUGGAUGUUUUGGCUGAAUAAUUUCUCCUGGCAGUCAGAUUGCUCAGGUUGUCUGUAUACCGGGCAUACUGAAUUUGGUCUCCGUAUAUCAAACCAUUUCAUACAGUGUAAUAUUUUUGUUCAGCAAAGUCUUUUAAAUGAAAAGAAAAAUACUGACAUUUGAACAGAAAGGCCACCAGCCUUAGGAAAUGCCAGAGGAAUUCUACAAACAUCCUUUUUUCAGUGGCCUAGACAAUUGGGAUCUAAUUCUUCUUGGGCAGCAGAUGGAGGGAGUGAAAGCUGAGCUUCUAAAUGGCAUGAGUCUCUAGUUAAAGGGCUUGGUGCUGUGCCAUGCAAACAGCCCUGCUUUUUUUCCAGCCCGCACUAAGAAUGGAAGCCAGCUUUCAGGGAAGGCUGACUGCCUCUCAGAAUAGUGUGAAUCACCCUUGGGCAUUCUAGAAGCCAUCAGAUUUUAAUAAGAGAUCUAUUGAAAAGGAAUGCUAUUGAAAUAUCAAAACCUUCACAUAUAUUAGCUCUAUGAUGUGUCAAUGUUUGUUUAUGUUUGGCUGUGCCUCAGUGUUUAGUCCCUUGGAAUUCAAUAAUAUGAAAGUGAUGACGUGUUACUUUGACACAUUUAUCUUCCUCUUUCUUCCCUGACAUUCCAUUCCCUUUCUUUCACCCAGCAUAAAAACAUGUGCUUUCUUUGGGAUUAGUUUUUGGGAGGAGAAAGUCAACCAGGAAGGAAGAACAUUAAGUGGUAAAACUUGGUAAUCUGCCAAAUGUUUUUCUCAGUAUUUUAUCUCACCAUUAAUGUCACACAAAUUCUUAGAGCUUAGAGAUAUGUUGACUCGUCUUGUGUCAUGUGAAUUCUAGGUUCUAACUUUUCAGCAAAUUUUACAUAAUUUGUAUCUAUUGUCAUUUUCAAAAGUUUUGUGCAAUAUUAAUGAUAAAAUAUAGUGUAAGGCUGAUGCAUUUUAUACUCAAAUCCUUAUGCUUGCUUGAACAAUAAUAAGGGAUAGCAGUCAAUGUUAUGCCUUUUGUUAGAGAAAUUGGGGACGGUAGCCCACAUAUUACACUUAUAUGAAGCUUAUCAAUUCUUAUCAUCCAUGAGAAAGGUGGAAGUAGAGAUGAAGGAAAUAGGGUUUUUACUGCAUUAAACAUAUUGUGACAGAUACAAGAGCCCAUGCUCUAUCAUCAUCUAUUUUCAUGAAGAAAGAAAGAAAAAUGGGAUGCAUCUUAGGUUUCUUUCUAUCUUUUAAGUACAUGUGCCUAAGUACUAUAAUUGGCCAUCGCUGACUUGUCAGAAAUCCUUGUGUACCAUAAUGGUCUGCCAGCAGCAAGAGUGGACAGAAGCACCACUCAGUAAUUGAUUCUGUUUGCUGAACAUCUGGUGGAACAGCCUGCAUGUUUAGUUGGAAGAAAUGUUCCCCAACCGGAAUAAGUUUGCUGCUGGGGUUUAGAGCACUGUCGUAACACCUCGGGGUGCUCUGAGCAUAAAACACAUAGCAACUGGCAAUUGAGUCAAUAAAAUCAAAUGGGGAUGAGAUGAGACCUUGUCACACAGGGACUGUGGUGACAGCUCCCCUACACCAAGAUCUCCUAGCUAGAUUUUACAAUGGAAAACAGACGAUAUCUACUCUAUAAUUGUUUUACUCUAUGCUGCUUAUAGUUAGCUAUUCUUUUUUUUUUCUUAAAUGGAGAUUAGCUUUAAUAAAUGCCAGGAAAUAAAACUCCAUUAUGAGAAGAAAGGAAUUCAUUACCAGAAUACAAUACUUGCAAAGUGUUUCUAUAGUACAAGUUUGUAGUGAUUGGAAUGUGGUGUUGACUGUGGAAAACAUUCUCAUUUGGCUGUGUUUUUGUCUAACGGGUCUGGCAUGUGCUGGGGUAUUGUUUGGUGGCUUGAUUGUUUUGCUCAUAAAUGUGUGAUUUUAACAAUAAUGAAAGUUCAAAAUGUGCUUUUUGUCUCACCCAACAGCUGGUGAUCAGGAUUCUAAAAUGUUUCUGUUUUUAUUCUGUUAUUUACUUCUAAGGAUCUCAUGGUAUGGUCUAUUUUAUUGUAGGACAUUAUCAGAAAAGUUUUCUAAGGAAGUAAGGAGGUUGAAAUAAGCCUGAGUGCAUUGCCAAGAUCAUUGGCAUAACCCUGUUUGCCUAAAACUGCAGCAAUGAAUCCUAUUAAGAUGAUUUUCCUAAUAGACUGAGAUUUCCUGGUGAUAAGAACAUACAGUUAGUAAAAACAUCACUCUACUGCAUACCUGGGCAAAGGCCCAAGGCUAUGGAGGUCAUAGACAAUAGCAGUGAACCCUCUACUCCUGUAUUGCCAAAGAGACAUGCUGUCAAAACUGUUUCAUAAAUAUUAAUGUAUAUGCUUAUCGGCUCAUUCUGCCCUUAGUCUUGAUCAAAGAGGCUUCUCUUUGGAGCAAAUGUAGAGAAUGAUGACUAGUCAAAGUGCUUAGAACACUGCAGAAGAGGGCAGAAAAAAUAUUUAAGAGCUGGACACUGGGGAGGAGGAUGUAUAGUGCUGUCUUAGGGAAGCGGUGUGGCCAUGACACUCAUGAACUCGGAGCUGUCAUGGUUGCCUACUUAGGGUUGGCAUAAAACUCAAGCCCUAAACGUUCAGUCAUAAAUAGAGGGGGGGCUCAUGAGUCUCAUGUUGCUCAGCAGAGCUACCAGCAUUGGUGGGCUAAUGUGGGAGAGGAAGUCAUUGUCUUCUAUUAUGUAGCCAGUGUUGGAUCUCUCAUGUCCAAGUGGAUAACUUCAAACCCAUGCCCAGUAAAGCAGCCUUAGUUAAACCUAGUGGGUCAUACAGCAAAGGCUGUAAAAACAGCAUCAAAAGACAUGAAGGUGGAUGGAUACAUACCCAGUCGGAAGAAAAUAGAAACUCAAAAUCUGUAAUCAUCAGGGAGAUGCACGUCCUAACCACAGGUUCUAUUUCACACCUGUGUAUUUUUUCCAUCCAGAUGUUUAAACAUGUCAGAUACUGGCCUCCAUAUGAAGAAAAGGAAAUCUUGCUACACUGUUGAGGAUAUAAAUUUGUAUUCCCCUGAUGGAAAUAAAGGCAGAAGUUUGAUUCUCAAAGUAAUUGCCAAUAAGUCAAACAUGCAACUCAGAAAACUCUAUAAAUAGCAGAACCUUGAAGAAAUAUCUGCUUUGCCAUGCUCAUGGUGACAUUUUCCAGAGGCCAUGUAUAAAAAGGUUUUAUGUAUCUAAUGAAUGGAUGAGUAGAUAUUAUUGUGAUAUAUAUAUAUAUGUGUAUAUAUAUAUGUACAUAUACAUAUAUAUCAUACAGAAAUAUGUAUGCAUAUAUAAUAUAGAUAUGUGCAUUACUAUAUGGUAUAUACUCUGCUAUAAAUUUAUACAUGAUAUAUACUGAAUUAUGUUUUAAAAAGGAAAUCUUGCAUUUUUAAAUAAGUGGAGGGCUAUAAGUACUGAAAGAGAAAUCUGUAUGAUCUUGUGCAUGUGCUAUGUGAGGUAGAGAGACACUGAGGUAGACACUGAGGCAGACACCGAGGUAGAUACUGAGGUAGAUACUGAGGUAGACACAGAGGUAGACACAGAGGCAGACACUGAGGUAGACACUGAGGUAGAGAGACACUGGGGUAGACACUGAGGCAGACACUGAGGCAGACACUGAGGCAGACACUGAGGCAGACACUGAGGCAGACACCGAGGUAGAUACUGAGGUAGAUACUGAGGUAGACACAGAGGUAGACACAGAGGCAGACACUGAGGUAGACACUGAGGUAGAGAGACACUGGGGUAGACACUGAGGCAGACACUGAGGCAGACACUGAGGCAGACACCUAGGUAGACACUGAGGUAGAGAGACACUGGGGUAGACACUGAGGCAGACACUGAGGCAAGCACUGAGGUAGAGAGACACUGAGGUAGACACUGAGGUAGACACUGAGGUAGACACUGAGGCAGACACUGAGGUAGACACUGAGACACUGGGGUAGACACUGAGGUAGACACUGAGGUAGACACUGAGGUAAACACUGAGGUAGACACUGAGGUGGACACUGAGGUGGACACUGAGGUGGACACUGAGGUGGACACUAAGGUAGACACUGAGGCAGAGAAUGGAAAGGUUGUUACCAAGGCAGGAGGCAGGAAAAUGCCACAGAAUUGAUCAAGAAAAGCAUAAAAUUGCAAGUGUCUGAGAUGUAAAAGUUCAGAAACCUAAUUAUGUAAGGUGAUUAUCAUUGAUAAUAAUGUGUACUUGAAAAUGCUGAGAGAGUUAAAUUUCAGGUCUUCUUACCAUAAAUAUACACAGUAGCUGUGUAAGGAGGUGGCUCCAGGUACUGGUUUGACUGCAGCCAGCAUUUUGCUAUGGGUUGCAAAACACGCUCUUAUGAUUUCCCCAAUAUACACAAUUUUUAUUUUAAAAAGAGUUCAUAGUACUUCACUGCAACACAGUGCCUUAUAUGUAGUUCAUACUAAGUGAAUGCUGAUAGAAAACAUUCAUUAUGAUUUAUGAUUGUUUUUGCUGCAUCAUUUAGUAUCGAGCAAAACUUUGUAGAAGAAAAGAGCCAUUUUGUAUUAUUUGCUUUGCCUUGUAUAUGUUUGAUUUAAAUAUUUUUAUAUUCAUUCAGAUUUAAUUCUAACAGAUGAAUUUAUUGUGAUAUAAUAAGAAAGAAAAAUGUGCAAAUUAUAUAUGUCUCAGGUAGGAGGAACCUUACUGUAACAAUAUUUCAGAAUCAUUAGACUGGUUGAUUCUGGUGUCCCCCCCACCCCCCACCCCCACCUGACCUCUAAACUCAAUAGGGCCUCCAGUCUCUUGAGGGGUAGGUGCAUCUUCUCUGAUUGAACACAGACCCAGCAGUCCUUUACUGUAUGUGUGUGCUGGGGGUCUCAUAUCAGCUUGUGUAUGCUGUCUGUUUGUUGGUCCAGUGUUUAAGCGAUCCCAGGGCCCAGAUUGAGACUGGGGUCCUCCUACAGGGUUGACCUCCUCCUCAACUUCUUUUAGCCUUUUCCUAAUUCAAUGACAGGGGUCAGCAGCUUUUGUCAAUUGGUUGGGUGCAAAUAUCUACACCUGACUCUUUCAGCUGCUUGUUGGGUCUUACAAAGUGUGGACACGCUAGGUCCCUUUUUGUGAAUGCUCCAUAGCUUCUGUAAUAGUGUCAGGCCUUGGGACCUCCCCUUGAGCUGGAACCCACUUUGGGCAUGUUGCUGGACCUUUUCUGGGCUCUAUUUCUGACAGCCACAUGUUAAACCAAAUUCAGAGACAGUACAGAGUACUCAGCAUUCUGCAGUAUAUCUUGGUAUUUUCAUAUUAGGAUGAGUUGAACAUAUUCAAGGACCAACUAUUCAUUUCCAGCUGCUAAAUCAGGUGCUAAGAAUAUAAAAGCUAGGUGACACUUUCUCAGCUUUUAAGGUAAUCCAAGUCUAAGAAUGAAAGCAAUCCAAUGGUUAACAGAGUAACCAUAGACUCGUGUGUGGUAGUGAGGUGACGCAUGGGAAGUAUGAGGCUCACUACUAGAGAGAACUCAUGGUCUUGGAUUUCUUCCCAUAAGAAUAUGGAUAGCAAAGUUGUAGCCAUUUGAAGGGAUGAGAAAGCAGAACCUGCCUGGUGUUCUGCCCAUCCAGAUGCAGUUGGCCUUUGUGAAAAGAUAAAGCUGGUAGAACUGAAAGAGAUGAUUUGUAUUGUUAUAAAAGGCAGAUCAGAAUAGGACUUAGCACCAAAGCAGAGUACUCUACUGAGCACUAAUGACAUCCACGGUACAACCUGAGAGGGAGAUCUGUAGCCACGAUCGUUUCACAGUUGAUGGUUUCAAGGAGAACCAUUGUACAUCUAUAUCUAGCAUGUGACCUGGCAAGGGUGGAGAACGCUUUCUUUCAGGAAGGCAGUAGGAAUUAGAUGCUGCUUGGGACAGAAAGUAACACUUUGCUUCAGCCCUGUUGGGAUGGGCUUCUAACCACCAAUAAGACAUUGUUGUAUCUCUCCCUCUCUCAGUGUGGGGUGUGUGUGUGUGUGUGUGUGUGUGUGUGUGUGUGUGUGUGAGAGAGAGAGAGAGAGAGAGAGAGAGAGAGAGAGAGAGUGUGUUCCUGCAGCAUCUGUUCACCAUUUAAAUUUUAAAUUAAGGUGUCUGGCUCAGUAUCCUCGGUGCCUACAGCAGGCACACAGUAUAUUCCAACUCUGUCUCAUUGGCCUAGGCAUUUUUACUGACACAAAUGCAAAUACCAAUCUUUUAUCAAUGGAAUUAAAUAGGAUUUCAGCUAGUAUCAUGGUGAAACAUUAUGCAAAAUGAGAAUGAUAACUGCCCUACACCAUGGGUAUUUGUAAAGAUAGAGGCAGUUAAUGAACUAAACCACUCCAAACAGACACUACACCGUCAAGUAAUAAAAUACUGUUUAAGUGAAUAAAAAUGUCUCUACAUUUUGGGAAGAAAAUAUGUAAUAUCUUCAGCAAUAGUAUUGGGGUCCCAUUAUCUAUUUUUUGCAGGGAGCAAAGAGAAAUUAUAACUCCCUGUAUUGUUGUGGGGUCUUUGAAGUUUUUGUAUGCACCAACUCACCAGGUGUCCAAUAUCAACUAUACCUGGCUUAGAAUUUUUUGGUUUCAUAAAAGUGGAUAUAAAAACAGCAUUAUUCAGCCAUGUAGGAUAGCUCCCUUCUAACUAUUUUCUGUUGUCUGUCUAUCUAUCCUAAUGAAUUCAUUUUUUCAUAGAGCCUUCAUUUUGGUUAACCUUUAUGUCAUGGUCCCCAACUCUCUGAUCUCAUGCAGCCAUCCUGCUUAAACCAUUCCUCCUUCAGGACUUGAUACCUUUCUAUAGCCUAUGUGUUAUGAGUUCCUCUCCCUUAAGGCAUCCUCCGUCUACUGUUUGACUCUUCUAGUUUCCUGGCUUCUAUAGGUUCCUCAGACUGAGCAGGUAAACAUUGAAGAUUUGAAACUAGAAUUUACAGAUGGUUCAGGUUAGGUGACAUUUGUUUCUGUGGCCCUGGGUUGCUUAGCUCAGUGAGUUUCUUCUUUCCAGAUCAAUCCAUUUGCCUGCAAAACUUUAUAAUUUCAUUCAUCUUUGCACCUUGAUAGAAUUCAUUGUGUGUGCCAUAUUUUCAUAAUCUAUUCAUCUUUUAGUGGAUAUCUAGGCAAAUUCUUUCCCUACCUAUCUUGAAUAGAGUAGCAAUAAAUAUGGAUGAGCAAGUAUGCCUGUAAUAAGAUAUAGAGUCCUUUCAAACCACAAGUGUUAUAGCUGAGUCAUUUGUUGAUUCUGUUUCUUGCUUGCUGAGAAGCCACUACAUUGAUUUCCAAAAUGGAUGAGGCAGUCUCCACCCCUCCCAAUAAUGAAUACAGGUGCAUCUCCCUUUACAGCCUCAGCAACAUCUGCUGCCAUUUAAUUUUUUUGCCAAUACCUGUUCUGACUGGACUGAGUGGGUAUCUCUAAUUACUAUUAAUUUGCAUUUUCCUGAUGACUAAGAAUAUUGAACGCUUCCAACGUUAGCAUUAACAUUUCUUGAGAAUUUCCUAUUCACUUCCAAAGCACAUUUUAAGAACUGAGUUAUUUUCUUGAUCCUUUGCACAAGUUCUUCAUAUACUCCAGAUAAUAAUCCCCCAGACUGGCCUCACUGUGGCAUGUCCACUUCUAUAAGUACCUGAUUUCUCUAUGCUGAGAUUAACCCUUAAAAGAGAAUAAAUUAUCGGUUUCAUGGCUGCUAUGUUUUAGAAGUGUGCUCUUAAGAGAGAAUAUUGAGAAUAGAUGUGAACAAUCUCCAGUCCCCACUCCACACAUACCUCCUCUGUAUACCACAACCUUUUGUAUCUAUUUUUUAAGACAUAUACACAGCAUUGGAGUCAUAUAUGCAAUUUUAACAUGUAAGUUAUUUUAUCUCAUUCACACUUUGUUUCUGAAUUUUUAUUGACUUAAACCCUUAUUUACUACUGGACAGAGCAGUGUCUUGUUGGAAUGCUUUAGUCCACUAAAAACCUUUAUCCUUACAUACAUCCCAUGGUGUAGGGCAGCUAUUAUUCUCAUUUUGCAUAAGGUAAAUGAAGCUUAAAGUAUAACUGAAAUGCCCAAGGCCAUGCAGUCAUUGAAUGUUAGUGUUAGCAUUAGAACGUACUUUAUGAUUGCCUGCUGGCUAGUAAUACUUUAUCUGUUGUUUUUCCUAUGGAUAACUUAGAAAGGAUUAUGACGAGGUAUUUCAGGCUGAUUUGGGGCAAUCAUUUUGUAUUUUUCCAUGAAAGGUGUGCUUCUUUAUUAUCCUUCCUGCAUGUUGUAGGCCUUGUUGAACUUUUAGAGAAUCUAUUAGACAUCCCACAAACACCACUGUCUAUUGCCAGAGUGAUGGAGAUCUUCAGAUGAAUUAGAGGGGAAUUUUGUCCUUCAGAAACAGAUUGGAUCAGACAUACAGAAAGUAAAUUAAAAUAUGACUCAAAAUGUUCUGUAAUAGCAUGAAAAUGUAAGCAAGCAUAGACAAUAAAGCAGAGUUCUCCACUGAGAGAUUCCCAAGGAUUACUGAUGUUUAUACUGGGAGUUGAGGGUUAAUGAGGAAGUUUCCUGGCCAAGAAGAUUUUAAGUCAUGAGCAUGUUUGAGUGAAUAAACCAUGGUGUAGGACAGCUAAGGCCAUUUUACAGUAACAGGAAUUUUUUUGUGGUAGGGGGAUUAAUGGGUACAUGAAAAAGAUAGGAAGUGAGGAAUUCAAAUAUACAUCCAUGCCAAAUAGAGACAGCUCAAUUUUGCGUAGUACAUAAUGACAAAUUUCAAGGGUUCUGAUGAAAAUGAUGUGCUUUAAAUGAGAAUUCUGAAGAAUAGAUUGUGGUCUGUCUGAGGGGAAUUAGUCAUCAGACAUCUCUAAGCCAGAGAUUUAGACAGCUGUUGUUCUAACAGUGUCUGUGAAAUUGAAGCUUGCAGAAAUGCUUGUGUAUAUUUUAAAUACUGAUUUAACUGCUAUACUAAAGAUUCCAAUUGUCAAAAUUCACUUCUAACGAGGGAAAUCUUCUUUCUCAGUUAAAAACAUCAGAUGUAGCAACCAAAUCCUAAGAUAGAGUCUUCAGUGCUAUAUAUAUAUACACAUAUAUAUAUGUAUACAUACACAUGUAUAUAUAUAUAUAUAUAUAUGUAUAUAUGUGUGUAUAUAUAUAUAUAUAUAUAUAUAUGUGUGUGUGUGUGUGUGUGUGUGUGUGUGUGUUUGUAUCCAUAGACAUAUAUAUUGUAUAAAGGCCACCAGCAUUGAGGACUGGAUGGGAAAUAAACAAUAAAUUCAGAAUUUUUUGUAAAGACUGUAUGUCUUUAUAGCAUCCAUUCUUGCAUAUCAGAUAUUUAUAUUAUAAUUCAUAACAGUAGCAAUAUUACAGUUGUGAAGAAGCAACAAAACUAAUUUUAGGGUUGGAGGUCAUAACCACUUCUGUAGAGGGAAAGAUGGGAAGGAAAAUAGGGAAGAAUAAAAUUAGAACACCUUCUAAGUUGUGGGCCCCACUCUAUUGCUCCAAUAAGAGCAGUCUACAAAUGCCUGUUAAAUUCAAUCUGCUCUGAAACCUUCUGCUUAAAAGAAAAUAGCUUCCACAUUCUUUCAGGAUCCAUCCCUAACUCAAACAUGGCUCAAAUUUAAUAUUCAGCUUAUUCACAAGCAGCUAUAACUCAGCACCAGGGAGAUUGCCGAGAUUUUUAAGGCUCUUGACUGUCAAUUAUGGAAAAUGAGUGAUUCACUUUCCUUCUAUUUCCUAAAGUUAUUUAUCAUUUUUCUUCUCCGCAAGGAAUCAACCCCAGAAGGGAGAUAUGCAUGUUUUCUUGAUGUUUCUUGUUGGUUAUUUCUCUACUUAUGAAGGAGAUAGAAGUAUCCUAAGAGCACCAGGGGUCUUUUACUUGUGGCAUUUGUGCAUGAUGCAUAUUAAAGUUGGCUCAAAGGUACUUGUCUUAUGUUCAUGUGCAAGUACAGCAAUGUAUGUGUACUGAUGUAUGGGAAUGGAGGAAGGAGUGUUAUUGGAAACUAUAAGGGCUGAAAAGUUAGAUGAGAUGAGAGCUAUAAUAAGCACUUGAGAUAUGUAGUGAGUUUGGGUUUCAGUACAACAGUUGGAAGACCAAGAAAGCACAAUGAGAAUUGAGCCAGGGAAGGGAUAAAAUGUGGGCUGCUUUCAAAGACUCUGCAGACAAGCCGAUGGUCUCUUAUUAGGAUGCAGAGAGCUAGGGACACAUCAUGAAUGGAGAGCAAAUCUACAGUUGUUUUAGUCUUUCAUCCCCUUUCCUUCCUCCUCCUCCUUCUGUUUUCUGCCUGUGACAGUUUUACAUUUAUAUUCAGGAUGAGGGAAAGAAGGAAAUACAGAGACAUCACAAAAGUGACAUGUGGAGGAAGAUGGUCUUAUGCUCUAUAGGCGCAAAGGUUGAAAAUAGAAUAUUCUGUGUAGGAUAAAGUGAAGUUUAAAGAUGGGGUCUAAAGAGACAGAUAUGAGAAUAUUUGUUUAAUUUUAGUUUGCCCCUGUGAAUUAUACAGCUGACUUAGUAACUCUUCUGGAAGGGCAGAAUGAGUAUUUCAGGAGAGUGAAGGAUUAUAGAAGGGACAUAACAGGAGAAAAUACAAAGAGAGUGGAAGAACAUGAAGGUCUGGAGCAAUGGUCCUCACCCUUCCUAAUGGCGCGACCCUUUAAUAUAGUUCCUCAUGUUGUGCUGACCCCAAACCAUAUAAUUAUUUUGUGGUUACUUUAUAGCUGUACUUUUGAUACUGUUAUGAGUCAUAAUGUAAAUAUCUGAUAUGCAGAAUUUCCGAUAUGCAAUCCCUGUGGGAUUUGUGACCCACUAUUCUAGAUGGAAUCAGAAACCAUCUAUCCAAAUUCACUCUGGAUAGAUGACUGUCUUUGGCAAUGCUUCAAUGUUGGGUCAUCCUUGGAAACCAAUGGCAGCUCUCAGGUUUACUUCUAUUCUGUGUGGCCUCACGUUGGGAGCUAGGCUUACACUUGCUCCAUCAACAGUGAUUAUUGGUAAAGUUCUAACUAGCUUAAGGAAAUAUUCCGAUGGAAAAUUUAUUCAGCAUCUGCCUCAGAAGAUACAGGACGAUAGUCCUGUAUUCACCGCAUGCCAUUUGUAGGAACAUACUUUGUUGCUUUAAAUUUAUUGAACAGCCUUUCAGUUGUACUUUAAAAGAAAAGAAUACCAUAAACUAUUUGUUUUUAACCAACUAAUCUGAUGGUACCAUUUUUGGUGUGUGCAUAUGUACCUUAAAGACAGUCCUUCAGAGCCAAGCAGUGGUGGCACAUGCCUUCAAUCCCAGCACUUGGAAGGCAGAGGCAGACAGAUUUCUGAGUUUGAGGCCAGCCUGGUCUAUAGAGUUCCAGGACAGGCAGGGCUACACAGAGAAACCCUGUCUUGAAAAUUCAAAAACAAAACAAAUACAAACAAACAAAAAACAAAACAAACAAACAAAAAAGGACACUUCAGUUUUGUUCUUUAAGGCUUCUAUACACUCGGUGUUUCCAUGUGUACAGUGAAAAAUUGCAGCAAGAGAAUUAUCAGAGUUAAAUGAAUAGCGCUUGUUCCGUGGCCCUUAACUCAGAGAACUUAGAGUAGUUUUUUGUUUUAGCAACUUCUGUGUUUCCACAGAAGAGUCAGUAGCCAGUGUAUUCUGUGAUCAGUAAUAAAAUGUCAAGAAGCAAAGUUCCAUAUCAUUUGGUUGUAUUUUACAAAGGCAAGUAAAAAGGUGUAGACCACACGGCUUCUUUCCUGCAUAUCAAUUGCACUGGGAUUUCUCUCAACUACUGCCCUCUUUACCCUCUGAGAUGAAAGAUAAUCUCUACUGGGGAUUCCUUGCCUUGUUCAUAUUGUCCUCUAAGAUUAAAGAUGCAAUCGCUUGCUAGAGGAAAUGCAUCCUAUUUCCUGAAUCUUUGAUUAUAAUAUAAAAAAACAACAUAGACAAAAAAAUGGCAGUAACUGGGGUUUGUCUUGAAUUCAUUAUAAUCUUUGGCUUGCUUUCAUAUCCUGUAUUGUGUGUGACUCCAGAGGGACAUUUGUUCAUAUGGAAAUACAUAUUUAAUACCCAGCUACUAUUUUAUGAUUUUUAGGUUUUCCUAAAUGGCAAUUAAUUUUUGCUUCUCCAGGUUUUAGAGUUUCUGAUUCUGAGAGCUUUCUUCUUCAAAAUGACACAGGUAAAAUGAGUUACCUGGUAGGAGUUUGAGUAAAUACUUAGUGCUUUUUCUGUUGAAAUGUCUCUCUCAUGCAUAAAAUAAAUGGUGAUUUACUUUAGGAGGGAAUUGGCAACUCCAAGAGUUUCAGUGUUCUGUGAACGAAUUUGCUAUUUGAGCCAGAGGCAUUUCACACUAAAUCUGAAAGAACUGGAUGUGUUGUUUAUUGUCAGGUGAUACAAUAGUUUUGAUCUGGCAUAUUUUAUCUUUAGAUUCUUAAUUAAUGGUGUGUGGGCACAUGUACCGCACUGCUUGUCUAGCGGUCAGAGAACAGCUCUGUGGAGUUGCUUUUCUCCUUUGCCCUUUGCAUGGAUUCUGGGAUAUGAGACACGUUGCAAGCUUUCAGAGUAAGUCCUUCAACUAUACCCCUGACCCCACUGUGUUAAGCUUUACUUCUACCAAACCAACAGUGAGUUAAGUGUUCAUUUUCUCUCAAGAUAUGUUUUCCUCUGCUGUCCUUUCUUAAUUACCCUAGAACACUGGACCAGUCUGUUUCUGUCCUCCCUAGUCUGCUCGAAUAGGGAUACCUCAGGGGAGGGAGACUCUCUUUUCAUUUUCUUUCUGCUUUAGUCCUAGAACCUAACAUGUAGUAUCUGAUCAACCAAUGUCUAUCGAGUUCAUGCAGUGCACAAGCAGGUGCUAAUUUGUGCAUUGCUUGAUGCCACAGACUGUAUUAAAAGUGGCUUUGCUGAGUGUGGUAGUACACACCUUUGAUCUAUCACUCAGCAGGUAGGAGCAGAAGAAUCUCAGUGGGUUCAAAGCUAGCUUGGUCUGUGUAAAGUGUUCUAGGCCAUCCUGUGAUACAUAGUUAUACCUUGUCCAAAAAAUAACUUUUAGCUCUGAAUUGAAGACUCCUACUACUUUACAUGGACUGACCUCUUAUGACUUCAUUGCAUCUUGAGUCAAGAUGUAAUAUUACAUAAAUAUUUUCAAGGAAGCCAAACACACGAGGGAUGAAGAAUCCGUGUCCCAAAACAGUAGGAAUGAUCCUGAACUACUCCGCAGAUUCUGUUUAAUCCACGAUUGGAACUAUAAUGUGAUCAGGCCUAGAAUCUACUGAUUUGCUUUUCUAGGGAUGUGAGAAAGGAUUGAAAGAAAGCAAUAAAAAUUAGUCACCAUAGUUAAUGAAUUCAAUUCCAAGUUUCUAGUUUGUAUCAAGAAAAUGCAUGAAUAUUAGACCUCUUAAAGUUAAUCUUAAAGAAAUCUGAAAAAUAUUGCUCUUCGCUAUUUCAAGCACAAAAGGUAUUUGAACUAUCUAAUAAUAAACCUGGGGGCAUGCUACUUAGCAAAUGUCUACUACUUUGGAAGUUAGAGUGGUUUAUGUCUUCAUUCUGGGCCUUAGGAUAUCUAAAAAUCUAUGAGUAAUUUUAGUUUUCAACAAGAAAUGAACAUAGUGAAGCACAUGGCCUUGGGUAUGGUAGGGCAUCUUUUGGGUAUAUGUCCAAGAGUGGUAUAGCUGUGUUUUCUAGUAGAACUAUUUCUAAUUUUCUGAGGAACUGCCAGACUGACUUCCAUACUGGUUGUACAAGUUUGCAAUUCCACCAGCAAUGGAGGUGUGUUAUCCAGCAAUGGAGGUGUGUUAUCCAGCAAUGGAGGUGUGUUAUUCUUUCUCCACAUCCUCGCUAAUGUGCUAUCACCUGAGUUUUUUUUUUAUCUUAAUCAAUCUAAUUGGUGUAAGGUAGGCAUCAUGAAUUUUGAAGGCAAAUGGAUGGAACUAGAAAAUAUUAUCCUGAGUGAGAUAACCCAGACCCAAAAAGACAUGCAGGGUAUGUAGUCGCUGAUAAGUGGAUAUUAGCCAAAAAAGUACAGAAUACCUAGGAUAUAACUCACAGAUCUUAAGAAAGGGUAACCAGCAGAAAGGCCCAAGUGUGGAUGCUUCAGUCCCACUUAGAAUGGAGAAUAAAGUAAUCACUGGAGGUAGCAGGAGGGGGAGGGAUCUGGUAGGAGAGGAGAGGGGAACAGGAUCAGGUAUGGGGACAGCGAACAGGUAAGAAAUCCAUAGAGACAGGAGAAUGAAUGGAACCAUGCAGCCUCAGGGGUGGGAGGUGGGGGAAACCCUCUAUAAAGUACCAGAGACCCUAGGGGUGAGACACUCUUAGGACUCAAUGGGGAUGACCUUAGCAAAACUGCCCAACAUUCAAGAGAGGGAAUUCAAAGAGUCCACCUUCAGCAGAUAGACAGGGCCUCAAGUGGAGGGACUGGGUUACUAACCCACAGUGAAAAUUUCUGACCCAGAACUGUUCUUGUCUAAAAGAACUGCAGAGACAAAAAUGGAGAACAGAUUGCAGCAAAGGCUGUCCAGUGACCUGCCCAAAUUAUGAUCCAUCUCCUGUGGAGGAGGAGAGACCAAGGACUGACACUAUGAAUGAUGCUAUGCUGUGCAUACAGACAGGAACCUGGCAUGGCUGUCCUUUGAGAGACCCUGACUGAGACAGAUGCAGAUACUUACAGUCAACCACUGGACUGAUGUCAGGGACCCCUAUGGUUGAAUUGGGGAAAGGUUGAAGAAGCUGAAGGGGAGGGUGACCCCAUAGAAAGACCAGCGGUCUCAACUAACCCAGACCCCUGGGAGCUCCCCAAGACUGAGCCAGCAAACAGGAGCUUCCUCUGGCUGGUCUGAGGCCCUGGACUCUUACAUAGCAGAGGUCUGCCUAGUCUGGCCUCAGUGGGAGAAGAUGCACUUAAUCUUCAAGAGACUUGAGGCCCAGAGAAGGGGGAGGUCUGGUGAGGGGGGAGAGUACCUACCCUCUUGGAGGCAAGGCGGAGGAACAGUAGGAUGAGGAACUGUAGAAGGGGGACCAGGAAGAGGGGAAACUACUGAAAUGUAAAUAAAUAAAAUAAUUAAAAAAACAAAACAAGAGAUAAUAAUAGCAAGUUGACCAUAUUCUAGAAGCAGUGGAACAAAAAUGCAGAAAAGAAAAUGGAAAGAUUCAAAGUGAUGGACUCACAAUCAUGCCAGGAGUUAUCACUAAUGAUCUGACUUCUCAAGAAGUAAAUGAUUCUCUGUGUAUAUUUACAGUUUGAAAGAUGAGAAAAGAGCCGCGGGGGGGGGGGGUUGGGGGAGCAUUAUAUUCAGACUACCCAAUCUACAUGUGGGUGAUGCUGGUUGUGUUUACAACCUCAUCCUGAUCAUCAGGUGUCCAGGUCUCUUUCAGUCUGUCCUCUUGAACCUACAAAACCACUGCUGUCACGCACUCUCUGCUCCACUGCUCUCUCCUGGCUCAUUUAUUUGCUUUCAUUUGCCCACCUUGUCUCUCUAGAGAGCAAGCAAGCAGACAGAGAAAACAGCCUUCCUUGCCAUGUCUUCUCUGAACUCUAUAGAUUUCAUACAGCAAGUAAUUGCAGAAUAGUGUGGAGAUCAGCUGACAUUAUCUGCUUCACAGGGAUUGGCCAAAGGUGUUGGUUCUAAAGUGGUGAGAAGUUAGACUGAAGGAGUUGAAGGGGUUUGCAACCCCAUAGGUGAAACAACAGUAUCAAACAACCAGAGCCCCAACAGCUUGCAGGGACUAAACCACCGACCAAAGAGUACACGUAAAAGGACCCAUGGCUCCGGCUGCAUGUGUAGUAAAGGAUGGCCUUGUUGGGCAUCAGUGGGAGAAGAGGCCCUUGGUCCUGUGAAGGCUUGAUACCCCAGUGUAGGGAAAUGCCAGGGCAGGGAGGUAGGAGUGGGUGAGGGGGCACCCUCAUAGAAGCAGGAGGAGGGAAGAUAGGAUAGGGGGUUUCCAGAGGAGAAACCAGAAAGGGAAUAACAUUUGAAAUGUAAAUAAAUGAAAUAACCAAUAAAAAUAUUCCUAAGUGAGGGGUGAAAGAGAGGGGUACAUGAUGCACAUGCCAUGACAGAAUAAGAUAAGGGGGGCUCAUGAGGUAGAGAAAAGGAAGGGGUUCAGAGGUGCAGAAGUGCAGGAUAGGAGGUAGGAGAAUGGGAGAAUGAAUCAGAAUAAAAUAUGAAACACACACAUAUAUGCAUGCUAGAAUGAAACUCAUUUGUUCAUAUUUUCACUUAAAGGUUUUUUAUUAAAUUCGUUCUUUUUCUCAACAAUAUGAGAUAUCAUGCAAAUAAUUGAAAAAAAAAUAAAACCCGCAAGACAUGAAGCAAUUGAGAGAACAGGCACAAUUGAAAUUGCUUUAUUGCAUCUCUGAUGCCAGAUUUCCAAUAACUUCAAAACAAAAUUGAUUAUAAAGGAAGAAAUUUUAUGGAUCUGUCAUUGCUUUUAUAUUCCUUCCAUAAAAAUUUCAAGAUACGGACACGGUCUUUAAUGUUAUUCAAGCAUCCUUCUUAAACAUAUCCAGAGGAGGGAGAAACGAUGGCGCAACAUUAUUAUUGUUCCCACAUUUGCUGCUGUAAACAAUGCAGUGCUUGUCUUUGGUGAGCUGUCAGCUCACAAUGGCUGCCAGAAACCUUCUAAAGCAAGCUCUUAUUAGAAUUAAUCACCAGUGUCAACGGAGACACUGUUAUCCUUUCCAUGAAAUUUAAGCAGGCUGUUUUAUUGUAUGUGUAAAAUAUUUGUUUUGUUUUAGAUAUGGACUUGGGCCAUAUGAAGAUGCUAAUAAGGGUAAUAGAAUCAUUUGGCCUUCCUGAGGCUUUAAAUGCUAAGCAGCUGAGGCCACUCCCUCUUGUGUCUCUGCCAGUUGUCCAUGGUGGUAGCCAUGUUUAGUUACCUAGAACCAAGGGUUCUCUAGAGUGACCUGGCAUUUUGUGUGGUAUUCUCACCAUUGAAUCCUCUAAGUCCCACUGGUUCGCUGACUGCUUCUUUUAUUUUUUUGGCAUCCAGUAUGAUCCAGGAGAAAGAUGGUGACCUGGGAGACAGUGUCUGGCUAUAUAUAGCUUGGCUUUCUGAGCCAUUCCAUGACCUCAGCAAGAACACCUAUCACUUUCUGGUCUUUCUUCUCACUUUCAAGUGUCUGGUAACAUCCAAUUCUGUGAGUCCAAUGGAAACAUUUGAGCUGCACUGUAAUACAUUAUGAAGGGUGGGAGUGUGGUCAUUUACUCAACCUCAACCUCUGCUCUCUGAGCAGGAAGAUCAAUGGCUUGCAAUUAGCCUUGCUGCUUCAACUGUCCGGGCUUGCCAUAACAUUCAUUCUGUGGUAAUGUAUUGUUUUGUGCAUAACGUAUGUAGUUUCCAUACUCUUAAGUAUUUCCAUAAAAAGUUAGAUUAAAACAACAGCAACAUUAUUGAGGUGGUACUUUCUGUGUCACUCCUGUGAAGUCAGACUCACGGCUAUGGUUUGGAGGUUAUCCUCGAAAGCAGAGGUUCUUAGCCUUCCUAACACUGUGACCCUUUAAUACAGUUUCUUGUGCUGUUGUGAGCUCUAACCAUAAAAAUGUUUUUGUUCCUAUUUCAUAAUUGUAAUUUUGCUACCAUUAUGAAUUGUAAUGUAAAUGUCUGCUAUACAGGAUAUCUGAUAUGUGACAUCUACAUAAAGGUCAUUCGACCCCUAAAGGGGGCAUGGCCAUCAGUGCCAGAACCACUUCUCCAAAGGUUCAUAUGUUAAAAGCUGUUCUCAGACAAUGUCAAUACUAGGGGAUUAUGGAAACUUUGAGUAGUAGGGCCUGAUGAACACCUUUAGGACUCAGGAUUCAUGUUUUAAGGGGAUCAAGGGACCCUGGUCUCUUCCUUUCUUUCCUGUCUACUUCCUCAUCAUGAAGUGAAAUAUUGUAUUUUAACAUUUGUUCCUUACAUGCUGUGCGAUCCAGAAUCUACCUCCACCUCACACAUAGGUCUAAUAGCACUGAGCAAUCAACUGUGGACCAAAACCUUCAACUGUGAACUUAAUCUCAUCUCUUUCCCCUCCAAAAGCAGAUUGUGUCAGGUAUUUUUUGCGCUAACAGAAACUCGGCUAAAAUGCUCAGCAAACUUGCAUUUCAGGCCCACCAGCACCCUGGUCUCAAGUUUAGGUAUCACCUGUGUUCCUUUUGAAGGUGGCACUUGACCACUCACCCAUACAACCUGGAAAGUUGUCUCUGUAGAUUAGAAAGCUUCCCAGGAGGGCCACAGGGCUUUGCCUUGGCUUGACCUGAUGCUGCAAAGUCAUCAUCAAUUACCCAGAUUCCUUUAUUUAUUACAGUGAUGCUCAAAUUUCAAUCUGCAUGUCAAUCAUCCAGAAAGAAUAUAAGGUUACCCUCUGCCUAGUCCCUAAUGUGUUAUUUUGUUGCUAAGGGGUAGAACCUACGAAUCUGCUUAUCUAGAAAGUGCCAGGUUGUGGGGAGGGGUGCUGAUCUAGGGACAAACGUUUGGGAUGUAUGGCUUUAGGUUAGUGCUCUGCCCUGGAACUCCACUGUUUGUACCAUAUCCAGAUACUGUAGCUUAGAUACUGCCUUAAUGGUGCAGUCUGAGGCCCCAGAUAGCUGGUCUUGGUGCGCAUCUUGGCCUGUACUUCUGCCUCUCUUAUCACAUUAUCAUGUACUUAAUCGAAAUUAGAUUUUCAUGCUCCUUCAGAAUUUCUUUCAUUUCCUGCCCAAUCUGUGGUUUAGAGAUCCCUCUGAGAGAAGUUCCAAAUACAUUCUUGAAUGAAUAUCAACUACUUGAAAACUUCUACCAUGCUUUUUGUUUCUGCCUUUGACUAAUAGCCUUUAUUUCUUCUUACAGCGCUUUCCCAUCGCAGGCACUCAAGUUAAUUGUGUUAUAGUUGGCUUUAAAAAUCUAAAAGAUGCUCUUCUCUGAGUCAUCUGCCUCCUCUAUCAUGAACUCAUAGACACCGGGAUAGGACAUAGAAGACCUGCACAGGUUCAAACCCGACAAAUCUCCAGCACUAAGAACACAAAGUCUCACUCCUGUCCAAGAAGCUAUUUGCAGCUGAUUCCUUUUAGGAGAGAGAAAAUUAGUUUCUUCAUUGGAGUGUCAGUGUGUCUAUCAACCACACUACAAAUCAGGCCUGAUGUCCAGGAGUGGCAAGCCUGGGCAAAGCAGAUACCUUUGUGUGUGUGUGUGUGUGUGUGUGUGUGUGUAUGUAUGUGUGUGUGUGAGUGUGUAAUUUUUGUUUUGCUUGUUUUAUUACUUUUUGUCUUACUAAUUUUUAAAAUUUGUUUUAUUUUUGAUUUUUGGUUGUUUUUUGUUUUCUUCUUCAUUUCUUAUGUUUCUGAGAGAAAGAAAGAACAUGAUGCGGAUUGGGUAGGUAGGGAAGUGAGGGGGAUCUGGGAGGAGUUGGGAGAGGGGAAAUAAGAUCAAAGUACAUUAUAUGAAAAAAAUUUAAUAAAUCUCUAAGAGGCAAUUGAGUAUGAUUUCUAAUAAGACAGAUUACACCAGUGAGCCAUGGCUUUCUAAGAUAUGUUAAGACCUGCCCACACUCAUUAUAACUUUUAGUCAGCCCUGAUUAACUUGGGUGCUGUCAUUUAGAGCAUAUAUUGUCUGACAUUUUCUUGCCAUGCUUCAGAUAUUUGAUAUUAUUUAAAUUGAAUAUACGGAAUGCUCAGUAUAUCUGAACACUGAAUAUAUUCAGUUAUUAUUUGAGCUUUUUCUUCCUAAGUCCACCUUUCACUUACUCUCCAACUCUGUAUUCAUUUCUGGAGUGACUAGCUUUGUUAUGCUGUGGCAUUUAAUUCAACUCGUUUGAAGAACAAAGUAGAAUGUAGCUACCCUGAUUCAUUCAAAAUGAGAUUUUCUAAUGUUGAGAGAAAUCUACCAGUGUAUGGAAUUCAUACUCAUUACUUUUUUAUACAUAAACAGAGCAGACUAUACAGAGCCGUGCUGAGCCAGCAGCUGUGCCCAUGGGCUUUCUUGAUAAGUCUAGCUCUCCCCUCUCUUGGAAAAUGUUCUUUUCUUCAGCAGACUGGAGGCUGCUGCAGAAAACAAGCAUGUGCAGACAGUAAGUGCCUUGGAGGGGCUAUUCCUACAUGUCAGCACCUCUGUAACACAGCUCCUACACCUAAAGAUCUGAGAAGACCAAUGAAGGGGGAGUAGGGCUAUUGCUAUAGCCAGAGGGAUAGGAAGAAGGAGAGGAGGGACUAUGUUUCUAUGGACUCCCCACCAUGGCAUCACCUACACAGCACAUGCGUAAGACCACAGCCAUCAACAUUAUGUCUUGUAUGGGGAGAGGGCUUACAAGGUUCUGUUCUAGUUGACUAGUCCAAGGCACAGGGAGAGUAAGGGUUUUGUUUGUUUGUCUGCUUGUUUUGCUUUUUGUUUCUUUGUGUUGUUUUGUUGUUGUUUUUCAGGGAGAGGCCUCUGUAGAGGUUUCUCAUCCAAGAGGUCUAUUCUAAACCUCAGUAUAUAUAAGCAACAUUAGAUGACUCGGUAAGUUAUAUAUGUGCAUGUAUCCCACUAAUAAUCAUAGAAGAAAGGGACAGGAGUUUGAGAGGGGAACACAGAAAGCACAGAUAGAGUUGGAGGGAGCAGGGUGAUAAGAUGAGAAUAUAAUAUACCUGCAUGUGAAAUUUUUCUAAACAAAAAAUUUGUAGUGUGUCAGAAAACCAUGAAUGAAGCUGGAGAGGAGAUUUCUGAGACCCUGAGAAAACUCCAAGUAAACAAGGAAAGAUUCAACAAGAUGGUGAAUUCCAUACACUGGUAGAUUUUUUUUUCAACAUUAAAAAAAUCUCAUUUUGAAUGAAGCAGGGUAUCUACAUUCCAUAUUAUUCUUCAAACAAGUCGAAUAAAAUAUCCCACAGCAUACCAAAGCUAGUCACUCCAUAAAUGAAUAGUUCUCCAUAGCAUGGGUUGCUCUUGGCAUGUGCUUUUGAGCCCCUCCCAGGAGAAGCAGAUAGGACUGUGUUCAGUUUGGAUUAUUCAUUACAACUGGCUAUUAUUUGUUUAGAUGCCUUUGUGGAUAAAUGUGUCCUAGCCACUUGUGGCUUGUCCUUAUGAUUAAAUACUUUACUCAGGUGACUCUUCUUAACCCUCACAGUGUAAAUUGUCCGAUGCUCUGAGUAAAGUCAUCUCCUGAGUACGACCUUUAAUUCACCUCAUUUUUAGGGUCCUCUCAGUUUCAUGCUGCCAUGUUGGAGACUUGAGAGGUAAAUAAUGAUGAAAAGUGAUGAUGAAAAAGAAACAUAAAGAAAAAAGGAAAGGACAAGGUCUUGACUUGUUACAUGAGAAAGUAAGGCUGGGUAGCACUUCUGUGUACCAGAGUGCAUCUUAGCGUCUGCUGGACUGGAGAAGGAAGGAUGUUAAAGACUGUCUCUCAAGCACACACAGCUGCAGGCUUCCUGCUUCCUUACCAUAUUGGGAGAAGUAGGCUCUGCUGAAAGACACAAGAGUUCCAGCCUUGUCUUUGCACAGAAAUCAGGACACUUCCAUUUUGCUUUUGUAUUUGAAAUAUGGGCCACAUUAAUAGUCGAGGGAAAUUUUAUUAAUACCUGUGCAGUCUGUAAAAUUUUAUAAAUAAAAGAGAGAAGACUUGAAAGAGACAAAGUAAAUUAUUGGAAGUGUACCAUGUCCGGUUUAUAGAUACUAAGAGACCUUAUUACAAGCUGGCUUUGCUUAGUAUAACAUGUUUGUUAAUUUUGAUUUAUUUUUAUUCCCAGUACAUCCUUCCACAGUUCCUCAUCCCAUUUCUACUCCCCUCCCCCAUCUCCAAGUGGAUUUCCCCCUCACCCCACCCCAAACCUCCAGGCCUCCUCAUCCUGGUCCUCAAGAGUUAGGUGCCUCUUCUCUCACUGAGGUCAGACCAGGCAGUCCUCUGCUGUGUAUGUGUCGGCAGACCUUGACCAGCUAGUAUAUGCUGGCUGGUUGUUACCUCAGUGCCUGAGAGAUCUCUGGGAUCCAGGUUGGUUGAAACUGCUGUUCUUCCUAUGGGGUUGCCCUCCUCCUCAGCUUCUUCAGCCUUUCCCUAAUUCAACCAUGGGGUCUCCGACUUCAGUCCAUUGGUUGGGUGUAAAUAUCUGCAUCUGUCUCAGUCAGCUGCUUGUUGGGCCUCUCAAAGGACAGACAUAUUGGGCUCCUGUCUGUAAGCACACCAUAGCAUCAGUAGUAUUGUCAGGCCUUGGAGCAUCCCUGGAGAUGGAUCCUAAGUUGAGCCAGUCACUGGACCUUUCCCUCAGUCUCUUCUCCACUUUUGUCCCUGCAGUUAGUCUAGCCAGGAACAAUUCUGAAUCAGGGUUGUGGGUUUUUUGUUUGUUUGGUUUUGGGUUUUUGUUUUGUUGUUUUUGUUUUGUUUUGUUUUGUUUUGUUUUAUUUUGUUGGUGUUCAUGUUAAAUGUCAAUAAGAAAAUAGAGGAUUUUAACCCUGUGGUAGGACCCAAUACCACAAAGUGAAAGUCAUUGAACUUAAACCAAGAUAACCAUCAAGGCAGUCAUUUCUAGAAAAUUCUGUGUUCUGACUGGCAACUCUCCUUAGUUUUCCAUUUAUUUAAUGGUAAAAAAUUACUUUGUUUAUCUUUUCCCCUUGUCAAAGCUUUUUCUUUGAAUUGGAAAAGAAAUCAGUUUCAGGGCCUAAAAUUUUAUACCUGUGCAUUCUGAGAAAAACAAAUUAUCAUUUCAAUUGCAUUUGAGUGAAUAAACAAAAGAAUAAAAUAAUAACUAUGAGUACUAGCUCUCUUCUCUCCCAUAAAACAUUGUUUUCCACUUGAAAACACCAAGCGGAUCUUCUUUAUUUUAAAAAUGUAAACGCACACAAGGAAAAUUCAAAUGAUUAAUGAAAAGCCAUUCAGAAGCAUGCUUAUAAACAAAAUUCUAUUCCCUAGGGACAACAUCCAUUAACUAACUAGCUUUUGCGUAUGCUUUUCUACACACACAUACACACAUACACACAUACACACGCACACACACACACAAUCACUUCAGGUCAGAUGUCCACUUUACACAGCUCAGUGUAAGUUGAAGGAGUCUCGGUUGGGAAAUUUCCUAGAUCAGGUUGGCUCAUGGACCUGUCAGUAAGAGCCCGUGUUGAUUAAUGACUGAUGUGAGUGGGCUCCUCCCAUUGUGGGUGGCACAGUCUAUAGGCCACGCCCUGCGCCUUAUAUGUGUGUGCUGCACUUUCUGGCUGCUAUAGAGUAAAAAAUGAAUGAAAUGAUUGAGAGGAGUUAAUGAAGUCAGACCAGGCACUCCUCUGCUGUGUAUUUUUUUUCUGUGCUGAAUUUUAUGCCUUGUUCUCCUAGGAUGCGAGGAAGGGCUCUAUAAAUUAGCUGCACAGUCUUCUCGUUAUAUUUACUCUCUUCAAAGAAAAUUCCAAAACAAAAAUCUUUUAAUGUUUUUAUAAAGAUGAAAAAUUGUGCAUGUUUAUGAGAUCAUGGAAUAUUUCCAUAUGUGUGUACGUGUGAUGUAAAGUCUAAAUCCGAUUAUACUAAAUAUUUUUAUUUCCACAAGCAUUGCUUUUGUGGUUAAAACACAGACUGUCUGUUUUGUUUUGGAGGUAAAAAUAUGUUUGUGCUUUCAUGUAUGGUAUGUGUGUAUGUGUUCAUGUAUAUAUUCACAUGUGUAUGAAGGUAUGUGCAUGGACUGUAUACACACACACACACACACACACACACACACACACACACACACAUGUACAUACAUAUGGAGAUCAGAGGUUAGUGUCUAGUGGCUUCCAAGUCAUUUUCUACAUUAUUUUUUGAGACAGGUAUGUGAAGGCAAGUGGUGUGUGCUCACAGGUAGAGGAUUUGCCCACUGAUCCUUACUCUCUGUAGGUGCCUGCCAUCAGAACUGGUUUUCCCUCCCCGACCUUUGCAGAGAGCCAGGCAGCAGAAGAGGCUAGCUAUCUGUUGCCUUUCUACUGUACGAUGACUAAUGAGGGAAGACACUUAAAAAACAAACAAACAAACAAACAAACAAACAAACCCCUUCUGUCUGAUCUCUGCAAAUUCGUUGGACAUAGCAUCAGAUUUUUUGACAGCAACAACACAUUUUUUCUAAUGUUCUAUUUUAUUAUGUUUUAAGAUUAUAGCUGUAUAGAAAUACUUUGUUAUCUUCUACCAUAGUUUAAAAUGUCACUUCCCUGCAAUUCGGAAAACAUCUUACUUAGCAGUACCUGUUAAUCCCGCAUUGAUCUCUCUAUUCCUUUUUUACCAUGGCAGAAGAAUGAGGUUUAUUUCUUUAUGUGGUUUCCAGGUGUUUGAAUUCUUUUCUGAGAAGCAGAUUCUAAACAGUGUCACUGGUGGAUUUCAUGUAUGCAUGACUCUUUUAGUCUUGUACAUUGUUGUCCCUGUCUUUUACAAAAGAACCCAACAGCUUUCUCUUUUCAGUGUUUCUGCUGUGAAAGCAAGCUGGUCAUAUGGGUGCAUACAUGACGUUUGGGGCAUUGCAGCGAAGAGGUCUUAGAAAUGAGUUAGCAGCGGUGCUUAGUGACAGAGAGGGAUAAAUAGUCUUUUAAAUGAAAUUCAUAUUUCAAAGGCACAUGUGCCCCUGCCCUCUAGGUACCUGCUUGCUCCCAUUAUUCCCCUUUGCCAUUUGAGAGGUUUGCUUUAUAGAAGAAAGCAGAGAGCCAUUCUUAUUAUUCUAGGCAGCCAGAUUCCUUCAAGCAAGUACUCCUGGGAGACACAAAGACAUUGUUUCUAGUGUUCGUGGGUAAGGCUAUCCAUAGUAACUGUAUGUGAAGGAAGAUUGUAUGUGAUAAAUUCCACACACUACCAUUUCAUAGCAUAGUUUUCUGAGAGUUUAUUGUUCCAUUAUAAAGCGCUUUCUCUCUCUCUCUCUCUCUCUCUCUCUCUCUCUCUCUCUCUCUCUCUCCAUUAGGGACUCCUCCAAACAAAGUAUUUACCUGAUAGUUAUUUUUCAAACUGAAAUGCAUUUAGACAUUUCUACAUGGUAUUAUCUCCAUAACAUUAAUUGUGUAGAUGUGGGAAUAUUGGCUUUGGAUAUUUAUUUGAUGGUGGGUCUCUCUUCUUUGCUAAGGGACCAUUUCUUUUGGGGGGAGAUAUUCAGGGAUGCUGGGUUAUUCUCAUAUGUACAGUCUGGGGCUAGAAGAGGGUAAAUGUGCUUGCUAAUUCUUUUCCACACUAACCUUCUUUUUCUGAGAUUCUGUGUUCUUGGAUGCCAGGGUUCAUCCUCCUUAAGGUAGUGUUUUUUUCUAUCUUUUUACUCAUUAGACUGUAUUUUAUACUUUCAGAAAUAUUGGGUCCAUGAGAUGGCUCAUUCUGGUAGAGGCGCUUGCCACCAAGCCAUGUGACCUGGGUUUGUUGGACCUCUAGGAUCCAUAUUCUGAAAAGAGAGCUGGCAUCUGCAAUUGCAUUUGCACAUGUCACCUGUGGCAUGUAGUGCCCCAUAUGCUAUGUCACAAAACAAUAAGCAAAAAUGGAACUUAAAACUCUAUGAAAAAAGUUAUAGGAUUUGGAGGGUGGGGAAUUAGUGAAGAUUCUCAAAGUUUUAAUAAGUGUGUUAAAAUGUAAGCAUAAAUAUAUUUAUGCCUAGUCUGCUGGUUGCACAGUUGAUACUUUUAGGCUGGGCAAAUGUCAUUAAGCAGCAUAUGACCUAUUUUUCCUUCAGUUAUAAUAGUAAGGGAAUAAAUUUUAUUCACAUUUAAGCAGUUAUCAUUAUAAUGCAUCAUUUCAACUCAUUUAUCACACACUUUUGAACUUUGGGAUGGAGACACUAUUAGCCAGGGGCUUUCCUAUGCAACGAGUAUGUAAAACAAAUGAGGCAAGACUCUGCACACUGCAGCAAAACUGUCCAAUCUGCAGGCAUGAGAUCAUGGGUAGUGUCCUGAGUACCUCCAUCCCCUCUUGUAGAGUAAAACAGUGGAGAUAACACUGUCUGCUUUCACACACACACACACACACACACACACACACACACACACACACACACACACACACAUACAUGCAGGGUUAGGGAUAAGCACAGGCAAAGCAUUCACCACAGCGCUAUGGGACAUGAACUGUCUUCCAGGUGAGCAUCGUCAUCAGCAGCAUUAUCAUCAGUGAUGUACUUAGCAGCCUCAAAUCAUGAACCUUUCUGGGAAGAAUGAGCCCUAAGAUGAACCCUAGAGCUAAGGCAGCCAAGUGACAGUGUAGUAACAAAAGAGCAGAGGGGCAUUCAGUGUAAAUACCACCUAUAUAGCUGUCUCCUGAGAGGCUCUGUCAGAGCCUGACAAAUCCAGAAGUGGGAUGCUGGCAGCCAACCACUGGACUGAGCACAGGGUCCUCAAUGGAGGAGUUAGGGAAAGGACUGAAGGAGCCGAAGGGGUUUGCAGACCCACGGGAAGAACAGGAAUAGUCUUUGGAAAUAUAAUACAAGAUGCAAAAACAAUCAGACAUUGUUUCCUUGAACUACUUAAAUAUGCAGUUGGUUGGAGCCAAUAUAUAUUUCUUAGGAUUUAUAAUUUAUGAAAGUUCAUUCUAUUAGAAAAAAAAUCUAUGAAGUACUCACUAUAUAUCAUCUUAAUGAGGUUUUAAUGGACAAUUUAGUUAUCCUUGAGAACUCAAUGGUAAUUAUGUCUAAUUCUGGAAUGUUCUGGUCACAGAAGUAGAAAAGCUGAUUUUUUUUUUAAAUUCUUUCAUGUCCUUACAAACUAUGUUAAAGUACAAUUUGUAUCUAAUGGUGUCUACCUGCCGUCUGUUUUCAUAUUAGAUAUUUUGUUUAUAUUGGAAUAGGAACAUAAUCAAUGAUGAGCAGGACCUGAUGAAUUCCAGCUGUCCCGUUGAUUUGAAACACUGUCUUCAAAAUCAAAUCUUACGCCGUUCUAAAAUGUACGUGGUAUGGUAUUAUCACUUGCGUAGUCGAGUCUUCUGUGACCCACAGACUAGCCAAUGUUGAAGCAAGUGUACAGGGGAUUAAAUUGGAUGCAGCAGUGUAGAGUUACUUGCCUAAGUUAACUCGUUAAGCAAAGUCUGUCUUUCACAAGAUCUCACUGUUUGUAUACAGAGUUAAGUACCGAAGCAGGAACCAAGUGGCUAGACACCUUUUCAAAGACAAGUCGCUGCCUAGGUAGAUCUAGGCUGUGAAAUAAACCUCAUCUUCUUAUCAGCAUUUUAUAAUCUUAAACUACUGCUCAGUGUGUGUAGCUUUUGCUUGCUUUCACUUCUUAUGCCUAACAGAGAAGACAUUGCUAUGAGACACGACAUAAGCAUUUACUGGCUUUGUGGGCUUCUUGUAGCAUCCUCUGUGACUUGGCUUGAUGCUCCUCAUUUUCUGUCUGCGUUCUACACUUCUUAGAAGCACUUAGUUAAAUGGACACUGAUUUCCUAGGGUAGAUUGGACAAGUCUUUAAUUUGAUGAAUUAUUGAAUUUUAAAAACUUUGGAUUUUGGUCAUUUUAGCGUAUAGCCUACUGAUAAACCCUGAGGUCCCUGGCAUUCAGAUUUGAACAGGCUGGAGCAAAGCUGACUGCUGUUUUUAUGAGAUUGUCUAAUCAACUCUUUGGAAAGGCCCACGUAUUAAAGAACUGAGGCCUCCUGUCUCAGUUUGAACAUGAAAAUAUUUUCAACAGGCUAAUCCUCCAUUGGUAUAGGCUAUUAAAGAAGAACAGGUUCCAUCUUGACUACAUUCUCUUGUAGAUCUUGAGAGGCUACAAAUUUAUCACCCACAGACACUAUGAAAUAACAUUUAUCUUCUAAGACACUGACUUGGAAGAAUAUGUUCCUUGAGCCACAGUUAACUAGCAAGGACUGUCUCUGGAAUGAUUUUAAGUUUCCUGUUGACAAGCACUAUAAAUGUACACGAUAUGUAUUAAAUGCUUUGCAUCUAGUCAUCUAUCUGAAAUGCAAUAUGUGUUUUUUAUCUCCAUUCAGUAUUAUAACUCAGUAUUAGACAUAUAUUAAUGGAUGCUACUGUCAGCCAUAUAAGUCUAAAAUAAAUUAGACAUGAAGAACAUUCAUAAAAUUAGUGUUAUAAUAUACUAUGGUAUUCAAUUCACUUAUGGAAAUGGGACAUUAUGUUUUAACACACACACACACACACACACACACACACACACACACACACACCCCUCAUAUUAUUAUAUUGCAGCUUGAAGAGAUGUCUACUUUCACAAAUUUGGUAGAGUUCCCAAGUACUACCUUUGCCAUCAUUUUAUAUGAUGCACCAAUAGAGAAAGAACAACGGAGGCAGUGAGACUGAGCAGGGAGCCCAUAGCCUUCGUCCUCCAUAGAAAUAAACCAAGGAAAGAUGUCAUCUUCUACAUAAACUGUCAGUUGUCUGGAUGAGUGUCCUGUAGUAUAUUUCUUUUUCAUCUGUUGUCUGGAUGAGCUCUUUAUUAUAUUAUGUAACUGAGACUAGAGCUAUGGGCUGUAAGAGGUGUAACAAUUGCCUUGGGACUUUUGCUUACAAAUUUAAAAUGUUGUUGGCACUGUCACUGGAAGAAUAUGUUCUUAUAAACCCAGUCGCUAUAACCAAAUGAUUGACACGCUGCUAUUGCUGACCUUCAUAACACGAUUUUAUUUUGCUUUCUCGUACUAUGAAAAUGGUUUCUCACGUGGGCGUGAGACAUGAUCUUUGUGCUUCCUCAGAUUGCACAGCUCUGUCCUCAUCACAACUCACAUGUGUUUACACUAUCAUAAGUCAAAAAUACUUCAUAAAUCACCCAAAAAGAAUUCAUAUCCACUGAUAACAUAUUUUAGAUUCCCACAAGCUUCUGCUAAUCAAGGCUAUAGUCUGCCUCAGACAAGUCCAAAAAUCAGACUUCCAGUUCUGCCAUCCCUGUGCACUAUCCAGACCACGUGCAUUUUGUCUUUCCCUAACACUGAAAAUUCCUCUUUUGGUAACACAACAAAAAUAUAUGUACUGGAAAUGUUUCUGUGAAUUUCAGCAUGGGUCCCUCUCUGUGAGCUUUAACUGGAGAUCUAUAUAGCCUUCAAAGCAGGUACUCUAUGGAGGCUGUUCAGUGUGUGUGUGUGUGUGCGUGCACUCAGUUGGGGACACACAUGAUGUAUGGCAUUAAUUGCUCCUAGACUGCGGAAGAAACUGUAUUUGCUAUCACAGGGGACUUGAAGAAAGAGAGUGAUUAGAACUGUCUGGGUGUGAAUUGCUUUUUUUAAAGCACAUUUUUUUUUCAUGUCGAUCUUUCUCCUUUUUAAAAGGAACAUGGGGAGGCAUGCCAUUCUCUAAAUGAAUUAGAAUGGACAGAUUCAAUUUUUUUUACAAUUUGAAAAAUGGAAGGUUAAAUUGAGAAAAUCUCUCUCUCUCUGUGUCUCUCUGUCUCUCUCUCUGUGUGUAUGUGUAUGUGUGUGUGUGUGUGUGUGUGUGUGUGUGCGUGUGCGCACACACACACAAACAUCAUAGUUUGGAUGUUUUCAAAUAUUCAAGGAGACGAGCAAAAAAAUGUUUUAUUCUGAAUUUCAUUGUUUAAAAUGCAUGGGAGCUAAUUUUCUUCACUGUAAGAUUUUAAGUUAUCCAUUUUCAUUUUAGCCCACCCCCCAAAAGGUCUACUUUUUGGAAGCUGUGCUUGUGCUAAUCCCUCAGUUGUGGUUUAGCUUGUUCCUCAGAUUGCCAAAGGUUGCCACUCAUUAGAGAGCGAUUACGUUUUGGGGAAUUCAUUCAUCACCUUGAGCCUCAACUUUAUUGUUUUCAAACGAGGCUUGGCUAAGAUUAUUGGCUACGGUAAUUACUUAUCACACAUUACUGUAAUAUCAUCAUUAUUUAACAAGUAGUUUUGAAAAGAGCUAUUAAUUUAUAUAUUUACAUGUAUGAAUAUUAUGCUUGUAUGUAUGCAUGUAUGUCAUAUAUAUGUUUAUAGAAACCAGAAGAGGGCACUUUAUCCCCUGAAACUACAGUUGAAUGUGUUUGUGAGUUACCAUGUGGGUUCUAGGAUCUGAAUCCAGGCACUCUGCCAGAAUAGCAGUUGCUUCUAAAUACUGAGCUAUCUCUCUAGCCCAGUACAGAGGCUUUUAUUAAUCAUGAUGUAAACUAAAAAUACCCCAGUGGACUCUAGACAUAGAAAAACACAGUCCUGCCUGUGGUCUAUCUUCAAAUUAGCAUUUCUGAUUUUGAUCAGCCAUUUUUAAAACACUUAUUUUCUUUUCAAUCAUCCAUCUCUGCAUGUGUUUGAACCUGGAUAUAUUUGCACAAGGGGCAAGUGUCCUUGGGGGCUCAACACGUGUGUCAGAUAAUAGAAGCUGGAGUUACAGGCACUUGUGAGCCACCCAACUUGGGUGCUAAGAAAUAAAUUUAAUUCCUCUGCUAGAGCAGAACAUGGUCUUUGCUGCUAAGCUACCUUUCCAGUCUCUUUAUUAUUAUUAUUAUUAUUAUUAUUAUUAUUAUUAUUAUUAUAGCUUCUAAGAAGACAGGGAGCAAGAUAACUGAUUUUGAAAAAAACAUGAAAGGAACCUCUUUUUCUUUCCUUUUCUUUUCUUUUCUUUUCUUUUCUUUUCUUUCCUUUCCUUUCCUUUCCUUUCCUUUCCUUUCCUUUUCUUUAUUGCCAUUUCUGCAAUUCAAAAAAUGGAGCAGACACCAAAGGAAGGGCCAUUCAGUGACCGACCCAACUUGGGAUCUAUCCCGUGAGCAGGUGCCAAACCCAGACACUGAUGCCAUGUUGUGCUUGCAGACAGGAGCCUGGCAUGGCUGACCUCUGAGAGGCUCUAUCGGCAACUGACUGGGACAGAUGUAGAUAGUUACAGUCAACCACUGGUCUGAGGUCAGAGACCACUGUAGAAGAGUUAGGGGAAGGACUGAAGGAGCUGAAGGGGACUGCAGCCCCAUAGGAAGACCAUCAGUGUCAAUUACCCCAGAUCCCUGGGAGCUCCCAGAGACUGAGCCACCAACCAAAGAACAUACACAGUCUGGCCCAUGGCCAAAGACACAUAGGUAGUAGAGGACUGCAUAUGCCUAAUUCUGUAAAGACUUGAGGAACCAGGGAAGGGGGGCGCUAGGGGAGGUUAGUGGGGGAUUAAGAGUGUGCAUAUGUGUGGGUGGGUGGAAGAACACUGUCUCAAGGGAAAAAGACAGGUGGGUGGGGUGAAGAGCUCUGGGAGGGGAGAACAAGAAGGGGGACAACAUCUGUAAUAUAAAACAAUAAUUUAAUAAAGAAGAAUUGAAUGAGGUAUUGGAUAUUCCACAAUUUAUGCCCGAGUCACAGAGUAUUGAGGAUUCAAAGCUGAAAACCAUAGGUGGCCUGUUGAUAGUGUUUUGAAAGAGGCUUAUGGUGAGCAUUAGAAGAGUGAGACCCAGAGAAACUGACUAUAUGUAAAAUGAGAUAAUGGGUCAGAUUCUUACGGGUCAAAUGAGGUAGAAGGAUGGGUGGGGUCAGACGGUUUAAAAAUGCAUUCUGAAGCUGUCAUCCUGUGAUAAGUAUCUGAAGUUAGACAAUUACUGGUUCGUACAAGUCUAUUACUUAUCAGAUUAUAUUUUAUAUUUUCUGUGUCAGCUACUACAAAAGCCUAGGAGAUGGUUAGUGUUCUAUCUCCUCCUGCCAGCGUUGACUAUCGUUGCUAUGGUUAUAGACACAGACACACGUGUUAGCAAUACCCUUCUACCCAGAACCCUGCCCCCAACCACUCAUCAUAUGUGAGGAAUGAACUGCCUUAGCCACUUGGUGGAAGCUGGCACUCCCUCUGUCGAGGUCCUUAGUGAGAGGCCAGAUGCUAACACUAUAUUCAGGCAGCUCGAGCUGUUAACCAGAAAGAUUUAUUUCCCACCCUGUAUGAUAUGAAGCAGCUCAGGCACAGGAAGUCAACCCUCCCAGAAAUACACACACACAAUUCAUUUCACUGCCCAGAACUUUAUCAUUUUUAUAUCCUAGGGCUCAAGGAACAUAAAGAUUUGAGUGAAUACCGGCGAGAAAGGAGGGGGGAGGUGUAGACUUAUUCAAAUUCAAGGUUUAUGGUUCUCUCACAAGACACUCCAGCUCUCCUGUUUUUUGGCACAAUGCUCAUCCCAGCCAUUAUUACUAUUUCAUGAUUUCACUUGAGUGAAGGAGGCAGGGGACGACAGUGAUUCGAAGCCCUGGUGUUUCUCACACCCAUCACGUUGAUAAAGGUCCAUUACAUUCUGUGUGAUGUUCAUCCGUAUGAAUUUUUAAUUGUGUAAGUACUAGGAAAAUGUGGUCUGAAGCUAGUUGUAAUUGUUCUUAAGCAUUUUUAAAAUUAAGGAGUAUUAGUUCUUAUGCUUCAGCUCCUGGUUUGUUCUUUUAUGUUGUGUGGUUCACAGUAGUUGUGUCAUAUUUACUAAUUGAUUAUGGUGUAGAGAAUUGAUAAAAUAUAAAUUUGGAUGAAAUAGGAUGAAAUACCUAUGCAUCUAUGUACACACACACACACACACACACACACAUAUGUAAAAAUUACAUUGUUCUGUAAACACUGCUGAAGCCAGACAGGGAGGUGUAAAUUCUAUUACCAUAUAGAUUGGUAGAUGAAACAAAUGUUUGUACAAACCCAGAGACUAUGGAAUACAUUACCCAGACAUUUUCAAUCAGUAACAUUUGUAAUACAGUUUUAUGUUCGGCAGCAUCUUAUUAGAAAUUGAUGGGUACCAAGCCAUGCUGAGAGAAGAGCAACUGAGCAUACAUGAGGGCAAGUGAGUGAUUCAUUAUAGUGUCUGCCUUGGGUGUCUGGAUGCAGGAUGGCUUUCAAGGCUGGAAACGCAUUUGUGUGCUCAUGAAUAUGUGUUUUUCGAAUGACAGUAUGAUGUUUUCCUGCUAUUGAAAACAGAUUUACUCUUCCCCUAAAUUCUUUUAGGGUGAAAAUAUGAAAACAGAUUUAAAAAUAAGAUCUCUGUCCCACUCCCCAUUAGGCAGGGGAGAGUUGCUGGAGCAUCCUGAUGGCUGAUGUACAUCUGGGAGAUUAAUCUGACAACAAUACAUGCACUAGGCUAGAAAAAAACAUGAUGAUGUCAGAGUAGUGAGAGACUGUUACAGAACAAGAGCAGCCCUCAAGGGCAUUGGUCUGUCAGGAAGUCAUAACUUGGGGUGUUGCAAUGUUUGCAGUUGUUUUCAGUUUUUACAAUGCCCAGAGGAUGUUUCUAAUAUUGCAUGGGCUGCAGUCAGUAAAGUUUCCUGUAUUUUAAGAGAUCUACACAUCCAAAGAGUACCAGUGAAGCCCUUGUGCACAUGAUGUGCUAAGGCCUGUGGGAGUUUGAGGGAAUGUCGUCAGAGAGGCAGCACUGUUGGUGUUAAGGAAUGCAGGCAAAACUGCCUUGCUCCUUCUUCUAAGCAUGGGAGACUAACAUGCUACUUGCAAGAUGCAUCUCUAUGUAUAUGCCAUUCCUGUCUCAGAAAGCAUUCUAUCAUAAGGAUGUUCUUUGCUUCACUCAUUAAAAAGAAACAGGAAGGUAAUUCUUGAUGGUAUCAUACAGAAAAGCAUUCUGACCUUUAAAUAGUUGACAAUACCAGAAAAAAAAAAGCACAAGAUAAGAAUUUUGAAUAAAUCCCUUCAAGGGAAAGUAGGAUCCUGGGAGAUGAAUUCACAUAUUCAUUUUUCAGUAGUAAAAUCAAUAUAGGAAAAAAUUUGUGUUCAAAUUCAUCCAUACUUUCAGCCCAAGUUCUUUGCACAUCUUUAAUGAAUUGGGUACUGCUCUGAGAAUGAGGCAUCCAGUAAUGUCUUAAAGGAAAUUACCUCAUAAGAAGAAGACUGAAAAUAAACCAGGUAGUGUAGGGACACUAAAAAUCAGGGUGUGGGGUUGGGAAUUAAAGAGUAUUAAUUUAGAUGGGACAAUUUGGAUAGAAAACAAAGAGCUGAAUCAACGGUGCACCAGCAGAGUGACCAGCAAGAGAAGCUCUAUGUGUGUUUUCCAUAUGAAGAAUAGUAGGGGACCAGAGAUCAAAAGGGAGGCCUGAAGGCAAUGAGGUUGUGUGGACCUGAGUAUCAGAGGUUUUCCACAGCUAUCUCUGGCCCAGCCUGGUGCGAGAGUCCCAGCUAAGGGAAGCAAUUGUGGGCAGGGAGGGAGGCUGCUGCAGUUGGCUCCACCUUGGUCUCUGUCAGGUCUUCCAGGUUUCUCUGUUACUCCAUACUGUCCUGCCCUGAGUUGGGUCAGGCUGGGCCAAUGAGAGGCCAACUAGCCAGUGAGGAGUGCAGCAGGGUUUCAGGCAGCUUAUCAGAGCUGACCUUUUUCCAAGUGUUACAGCUCUUUGGACAGAAGGCUCAGGCUGCCAAGUAGUUCUCCAACACCCUUAACCCUUCCUGAUAGGAUUCUUAUACACAGCUUGGCCUGAGUAAGUGUCUGACAACAGGUACUUCUCAUUGUUUUGGUCUGAGAGCUUUGGGGAAACCUUAUUUGCAUGUGGGAGGGCUUGGUGCAGCUCCUUUGUGACUGAUGGCAACAUACCUCUGUGGUGGACUGUGGGAGGCUGUGGCUAACAGGAGCCAGGACCCAGGAGGCCUGGCCGAACACCUGCUAUCCCAACAGGAAGAAAUCACCACCCACUGGGUCACUGGGGUUCCAGACCUUUGCUCAACCGGGACCUAGCUGUCUUGCAGCCCACUGUGCCACAAGAGUGAAUAGGAGGUAGUCGAAAUACCAAGUGUGGGGGGAACUCUGGAAAUUAGAGAACCAUUUUACUGGGAGUUACUUCAGGAGCUACUAGAAGAUCCUGAGUAUAAAAAUGUGGUCUGAUGAAAGUGUCAGGCACGGAGCUCUGUGCUUUAUGUGUAGGAAAAGAACAAAACCAAAAACCAAAAUCCAACCAAACAAAAAUCUUCCUGCGAUUCGGAAGGAGGGGAAGCUGGAAUCUAGCACUGUAGUCUAUGAGUGAGGACUCGAGUUGACUAAGCUGUGCUAGUGCAGUCAGGGUGGUGAUGAAGGUAGAGCUUAAAUGUAGGGAGAUGGAUGGAAAGUGGGUUGAGCAAGAAGUCAAUGAUCUCUUCAGGUUUAUUCAUUGCUAACACUUUAUGUGGUACCUUAUGUAAUAUCAGCAUUACACACCUCAAGACCUUUUCAGCUAUUUUAAGAUGAUACUAGGCAGUCUUCCCUAAUUCAUAUUUUAGUCUUGUGCUUUAUAUUGUAAAUCAUUCUAGAAUUUGAUUUUUUUCUACAUUUUUUGUACUAACAAUAGUGAACACACAUGAUGGAAUUUCAAACAGUGUAUAAUCGAUAUUUAGUUGAGGUAUGAAGUAUAAAUAAUAGCUAAGAUUGUGAUUCUUAGAAGCAUACUGCCAGGGUUUAAUUACUGGCAGCACCACUAAUGAUCUUCCAUUAAAAGAAACCUAGUUAUUCUCCUAUCUAUAAGUAAAAAAAUGAUAAGAUUGAAUGCUUUAGAGGGACAUUGAGGAGAAUUUAAUGGCUUUACAUGCAAAACAUGCUCUGAACAAUGUUUGUAUAUAAUGAAUUUUUAUUGUGUUAAUAAUUUUAUUAUCUAUUAAUACCAUUGCUAAUAAGAAUAGAUGUAUAGAGACGAAUAAAAAUAGGAAGUUACAGAAGCUAGAAGCUUGAGUAAUACACAAACUAAACAAACAAAAGACGUGUAAUUGAAUAUGAAAUGUGUACAAAAUUAAUGAUACAUGCUAACAGACUAUUCUUGCAUUGCAACAUGCUUUGUAUUUGUUAUCUAUGAGAAGAAACAUAAUUAUAAAUGCACUAGAUCAAUUUUUAAAUUAUUACUUGUAUCAUCCAUCUAUUUUUAUUUGUUUGGUGUCUUUAUUUUCCUUUGCAAUCUUUUCAUAAUUUAAUAUCUAAAUUGAUUUGGCAUAUCUUCUAGAAUAUGUUUCUCAGUGGCAUCUUUAAAUAUUAAAGAUACUAAAUUGAAUAUGUGCAGUAUAUAAAUGUAAUUGUUCACUAGUUUGAGAACAAUGUUUUCAUAUUUUUAAAAAAGUCUUAAACUUAUCUAAAAGUUAUCAGAUGCUAUUAUCUAUAAUUUUUAAAAGUCUUUUUUUCUCACAAAAGAAUAAAGUUAUAAAAAUUGAGCCCAUAAAUAGUGUCUUUCUUUGAAGUAUAGUAACAAGAUUCCAACUGGCUUGGACAUAAGUGUUCAAUAAACAUUUGUAGCUUGAUUAAUGUCUAUUUAUAAAUUUUGUGUGCUAAAUGAAGUGAGAUAGAAAUUCUGAGCAUGCUGUACAAAUCAAACCAAGCAUAAAACAAUGUGGCUUUUGAAGUCUUCUUAUGAUAAGUGGCCUUUAGUUUGACAUUUUGAAGCUGACUUGACAGCAUUAGGGUACUCACAGAUGUUGAUCCUGUGCCUAUUUUGUAAUGUUCAUUGUUAUUUGAGUUCAAAAUUGUGCUUAUAAACGUAUGUGUGAAACAGCUCCUCUUUCUCUGGUUAUUCUUUUUGUUUUGGACUGUUUCAGUGAAGCAUACCCUUUGUUAACUUUGAUUUUUUCCUUGAGUAAAUUCUACAACAUCAAGAAUGUAUAUUACCAACCUACAGUAUCAAGAUUAGUGUUUAAGUGGCAACAUACAGUAUUAUUACCAUAGCAUACUCUAUAUCCUUAAACAGUCAUAUUAACUUUGAUAGUUCAGUUGAAAUCUCUCCUCUCUGUUUAUAAUGACAUCCUGUUCAUUGCAUCUCCUUUGGAAAAAAAAUAUAGAAUACAGUUCCUAAAAUGUUAGAAACAGCAGGUUUGAGGAGAAACAGGAAUGAGAGCUCAUCCCACUGUGUUACACACAUGGCUAUGUCUCUGGUUUCCAUCUUCAGAAUUGCCAUAAUGGCAUAAUUAAGGCAUUUGCAAGGGAGUUGACACUGGGACCAAUUCAUAGCCACUGGGGUUACAGACAUAGCUUGAGAAGAAGGCUCUAUAGAUGUAGCAUGUAGUUGUGUAGAAGCAAGGUGAGACAAUAAUGAUCAGGCUGUGUAGACGAUAGACUGUAGGAAGCCACGGACAAGAAUGUAAGUUGGAGUGGAAGCUAGAUUCUCUGUUCAAAACUGUAGGCAGGAGUGUGAACAGCAUGCCCCUCAUUUCUGGAUUCUUCUGCUUCAUGGUGAGGAAGCUCCUGAUCCAGCCAUCUCUCUUGUGGCGUUCAAGAGUACACACCAUGCCUAGAGAUUAACACAUGAUUACUGCUGGCAGCUCUGGGCACUGUAGCUAGCCAGAAGUUGUAACUUCCUCCAAAGAUAUCAGCUCAAAACUGUUUGUUUCAGUUUCCUGGGCUAAAUUUAAUCUGGUACCUUCUGUGCUCCUAAUAGCAAGCAUUUUCAUAAUUCUUUAUGGAACCCAAUAGAGCUGGCUUUGGAAUCAAAUCAAUCAUUCGCCUUCAGACCAGACCUUCAGUUUUCCACAUUAUCCUGCUUACAGAAAUAUCCGAUUAGCUGGGGGUUGUGUUUGUUUGUUUGUUUCUGUUUUUAUGUUUUGACUGAUUAUGUGAAAUAGUUUAAACAACUAUGGGAGAAAUGAGAUAAUUUCUUCCUUCUGAUGUUUUUUGAUGAUCUCAAUUACUUGUAUUUAAGAACUUAGGAUCGAAUGAAUUAUCUAUUCUUAUUUGGAUGAGAGAAGAAUACAACUGUUACUGCAUUAUGUCAGUAAAAAUUUCAGAUGCACAUCUGAGAGUUUCAUUCUCUAUUUUUAGGGCCUUUUCACUUUCUGAACAUUGGGUGAACAACUCACUGCUUAUUUAGCAGAUUGUACAUUAAAAAAUGUAAAGUACAGAGGCAGGAAUAUCAUACGUUUGGUGAUAAUUACAAGUGUUCAUUUCCUCACUAAGUACUAGGCAUUCCACAUGGUUUCUAUAGCAACCUAUGGUCUGUUAAAUUAAGUGCCUAAUGUGAAUAUAUGAAUAAGUUUUGGUACUUAAGGAAAAAAUUAUCCUCAAACACUGGGAUGGUAUGUGAGUUUAUAGUUGCAGUUAAGCAUAUUAGUUUUAUGUUAAUUCCUAGGUUAUCUUUAGAAAAAUGAUUUUUUAAGUUUUUCAGAUUCUAAAAAAAAAUUGCUACUGCAUGAAGAAUGAAUAUAUUUUAAUGAAUUUCUAAAUGGCCUACUGAACCAGAUUCUCCCAGUCCCUCAGCUACUCUUUGGUUGCAAAUUAUGCAAAUGUACAAGCUGCCUUAACUCUUCCAGGACACUAGGGUACCAUUUGGCAAGCUACUCCCGGGAACAAGUCUAUCCUGGGGCAGGGGAUAGAAAAGAAGAAAGGCCAUUUUACAGAGAUUAAGGCAGGGCUGCUUAAUUUAUCAAACAUCCCUGGAAAGCAGAGGUGACAUUAUGGUAAUUUUUCUGAAAAUAAAAGCAUAGAUACCAUCAGCAGGCUAUAGGAACCUGUGCAGAACUGCAGGCAUGAUCAGUGACAGCAAUGUGUGUGGACUCUGAGAUACAAGCUGAAAUUCCACAUAAAACCUGAAACUGGAAGCCCCAGCUGCCCCUAGGAGAAAUGAGGCAACACUGGACACAUUCCUACUCCCAGCCACACUGUCCCAGGAACAGUGUCAGAGGCAGCAGUUACAAGAAUUUAGCUAGAUUUAUCUUUACUUUUUAUGCCAGGGCAUCUUAGGUUGUCAGCCUUUGAGUAUUAGUGAACUUAAAAAAAAAAAAAUUCAUGCCAAGCCUCUUGGCAUAGGCCUGUCAUCUCAGCUCCUCUGAAGUCUGAUCACAUAUGCAGGAUCUGUAUUGAUGACAGGGUGAAUUCAAGGACAGAAAUUCAAAUUAAUUAUGUUCUCUGUCAGAAUACAAAGUAAAAGAGGCCGGGGAUAGAGCGCAGUUUCCAAUGCUUGCUUCGGAUGCAGGAGACCUCGGGAUUCAAUACACGAUGCUAAAAACACUGUUUAUUAUAUGGUUCAGCUUAAUAUUUGAAAAUACUGUGAUGCAUGGACAUUCAUGAUGGUGUAGCAGAGUUUAGUCAUUUCACUCAAGCCACUAAAAUGCAGUGUUUAGCUAAAUGACCAAGGCAGCCUUCUGGGUUAUUUCAGAUACCCAGAAGGCAUUAGAACUUUUUCUAUCCCUAUCACUGACUGAGUCACAAAUUGGAUGUAUCAGAGAGAAGGCCUGCCUUGUCAUGUCACCUGACUCAGAUACCCAGGGUAGGAUGGAGGUGAUGGUGAAUAAAGAAUAUUGUUCCGUGUCCCUAUCCCUCCUAGAGAUACCACUUAGAAGUUUAAGCAUAUGGCUCCUUCACUUUUCAUCAUAGAUGCAUAUGUUUUUCCCAAUAAAAUAUAGGAAGAAAUGAAGCCAGGCAGUAACACCUUUCCUAUGGAAGGAUUAACAAGUGUCUAUUCUUCAAUAUACUUCUGUUUAGGACUGGACAAAUGCUCAUUAUCUUUAAUGUUAUAUCAAAGUAUACAUCCAGAAGUCUGUUCCUCAUACUACACUGUUUUUUUUAAACAAUGAAGAAUCUUCUAAAAGAAAUAAAGUACAUUUUAAAAAUGUCUUCCUAGAUUUAUUACUUUACUUUAUUACUUUAUGUGUAUGUGUUUGGAUUACACAUAUGUAUGUAUGUAUGUAACUCAUACUUAGGAAUCAGAAGAGGGUAUUAGAUCCUUCUUAAACUGGAGUUGCUGAUUAUUGUGAGCCAUAUUUGAGUACUAAGAACUUAAUCUAUAUUCUCUGAAGAGUAUCAAGUACUUUUAACCAGCCCAGCCAGAAGUUCGUUUGUUUGUUUUUCAAAUCUAUGCAGUUCCUUAAUGUGAGAAAGAAAAUACAGAAGAGUUCAAACAUUUUCCUAAUAUUAAAUAAUUUGCUUAAAUAUUUAAAAACUAAACCAAUUUUUAAAAGUUGUAUUUAUUUUUUUCCCAUUUUUAUUAGGUAUUUAGCUAAUUUACAUUUCCAAUGCUAUACCAAAAGUCACCCAUACCUCCCCUCCCCUACCCACCCACUCUCCCUUUUUGGCCCUGGCGUUCCCCUAUACUGGGGCAUAUAAAGUUUGCAAGUCCAAUGGGCCUCUCUUUGCAGUGAUGACCGACUAGGCCAUCUUUUGAUACAUAUGCAGCUAGAGACAAGAGCUCCAGGGUACUAGUUAGUUCAUAAUGUUGUUCCACCUAUAGGGUUGCAGAUCCCUUUAGCUCCUUGGGUGCUUUCUCUAGUUCCUCCAUUGGGGGCCCUGUGGUCCAUUCAAUAGCUGACUGUGAGCAUCCACUUUUGUGUUUGCUAGGCCCUGGCAUAGUCUCACAAGAGAGAGCUACAUCUGGGUCCUUUCAGCAAAAUCUUGCUAGUGUAUGCAAUCUUAAAGUUAAUAAUCAUCCAUAAUUUGUAUCAGUGAAUUAUCUUUCUAAAACGCUAGGCAGUUUUGUGCAUAUGAAUUUCUGCACUGGAUGCUUUCUAUACAAGUGAAGUGAUGCACAAGUGCUCACUCUGGGUCUAGAUGAUUUCGCCUUGCAUAAUCCUAUCCAGAAACAUCCAUGCAGGUUAGCUGUUUUCCCAACAGUGAGGUAAGGGCUGGGGAGAGAGCUUAGUCAGUGAAAAGUGCUCGCCUGUGAAAACCCAAAGAACUGACAUCAAUCUCUAAGAUCUGCAAAAAAGCUAGGUCCAGAGGCAUGCAUCUGUAGUGUACCUUCCUAUACAGAGAUGGGAUGUGGAGUCUGGGGAAUUCCCUAUAAGGCAUUCUGGAGUACACAUUAGCAGCAGAAGCAAGAGAGACCCAACUUUUGACAGUUGACCUCUGACCUCUAACAAAGAUACAAGCAUGCACCUAUACUAAUAAACACACACACACACACACACACACACACACACACACACACACACACAUUCACACACAGAGUUUUACAAGUGUUAUGAUAUAUGUGCCAAUUUAUUCUACUAUAUUUUUUAUUUCUCUCUAUAUUAUAACAUUAUCUAAACCUCAACUAUAGAUACAAUUUAUUUUUUAAAAGAAAUGUAUCAACCGUAAAGUAAGAUUUUAUUAAUGGAGUGGUUAAUAAGUCCUUACUCUUUAAAUGCUUUUGCAUAAGGAUAUUGAAAUAUACACAUCAUACUAUACUUGAGAAGUGUACUGCUAGAAUGGAAAUUAUAUCAGAAUCAUGUGCAGGUUGAGUACCUGAAAUUAUGUGGUCCUUGCUUUUAUAUGCAAGAAGGAUAUUGGUAAUUUUAUGAAUCAGCCUACACAGUAAUUUCUCUGCUUUAAAUGUUGUCAUGUCUUAAACUAUGCGAAUCAGUCUUGAUAACAAAUCAAAAGAAAUUAAUAAUAAUCUGUACUCCAGGCAGAUCUGGAAGUCAGUUCUUAGCCCAGUAUCACUUCAACUUUAUACUCACUCUCCCAGUUAACCCUGCCAAAUGCUGGAAUUACAGACAUUUCUAACUAUGCAAAACAAUAUAUACUGGGGACCACAGCAAAUAAAAGUAGGCAGAUACGACAACAUUUUCAAAAAGAGGUCAUAUUUUAAAUGUAAUAUUUUUAUCUUUAAUUGAUGAUAAUUAGCAUAUUCUCAAACACACAAAAUAUAUGUGGGAAUCUAUAAAACAAGGAAAUCGUGGUGGUGUGGCAUUUUAGAGUUGGACUCUCCUUUUCUUUUUCAUUAUCUUACGAACAUUCUCGCUGAAUAGUAAUUUCAUUUUGUCGUAGAUGUUUUUAUUCCUAGUUACCACUUAGAAGAUCCACUGUUGCAAUGACAAUUGAACUUUUUAAGACAAUGGAUAAAAAGAAAGGCAAUAAUAAAAACACAUGGAAAGUUCUAAAUGAUGUUUCUAUAUAUAAUUCUAGAAAAUAUUUGAGAAAAUAUUUUGCCUUCUACGUGAAGGAAAUACUUGUAUAAAAUCAUAAAUGUAAUUGAAAUUGGGAAACCUUCACAUAAAAUUUUCUCCUAAAUGUUUAUGUCAAUUUUUUGUUAACAUGUGCUCACCACACAAAAUAAUGGGUUUUACUGUACAUGAGUGUUUAAAGAUAUAUUCCAUGUUUUGUAACAAUAGCAGUAUUUUAUUAGAUUCUAAAUAUAUAAUUCAGAAGACUUGCCUUCAUAAACAAUGUUAAGAAUAUCCUUUGGGAAUUCUUGAUCCUUUGAGACUUGUUAUUUCUUUGGUUUAUGAUAAAGAUUUUUAACGUGAACUAAAGGAUGUUUUCUCAUAGUCAUUUAUCAAGGGCUCUUGUAAUCCAGAAUUAUAUAUAUAAAUCGUGGAACCAUUCCACCUUCUCAGGAAAAGCACUGUGAGGUAGGGACACUUAUUUCCAUUUAGAAGAAGCUCAGAAAAAUUAAACUUGUUAAAGUUACGACAUUAAUGGGUAAAUGAAUUGAAUUCCAAAGUCAAUAGUUUAGUCUUUUGAUUGGAAUUUAUUACCACAGAAAAAUAUGGAUGUAAAUAUUCAUAAGUAUACUGGGAUGAGUGAAUUGCUUCAACUAUGUAAAUGGCUAAAUUUCAGAGAUUAUGGGCAAUAUAGCAACUAAUGAUUGUGGGGAAUUGUAGGCUGGUCUCCAGUUGAACUGAGGUCUGAACCCCGAUGGUCAUAAUUCACCUACGUGACCUACAUAGGCGUCUGCUCAUGCUCCUGGAACUCUUGCCCUUGCUUAAGUUACCGCCCAGCACAGCCCCCUCAAGAGAAGCAUGGUUAGUAGUCAUGUAGACAAUGGCCCAAGCUUCUGACCUUCAGGCUAAACUCCUCCCCAGUUACCUAGCAACAGUAAAGACCAUUAAAAGGGCUGUUCAGCCCCCACCUCCCUCUCUUACUCAUAUGCUCUUACUUUUAUUUUUUGUUUGUUUCAAAUGUUGGUUUCCCCUGUAAGAUAGAUUUUUUUUAAUUAGAUAUUUUCUUUAUUUACAUUUCAAAUGUUAUCCUGAAAGUUCCCUACACCCUCCCCCGACCCUGCUCCCCUACCCACCCUCCCACUUCUUGGCCCUGGCAUUCCCCUGUCCUGGGGCAUAUAAAGUUUGCAAGACCAAGGGGCCUCUCUUCCCAAUGAUGGACGACUAGGCCAUCUUCUGCUACAUAUGCAGCUAGAGACACGAGCUCUGGGGGUACUGGUUAGUUCAUAUUGUUGUUCCUCCUAUAGGGUUGCAGACCCCUUCAGCUCCUUGGGUACUUUCUCUAGCUCCUCCAUUGGGGGCCCUGUGUUCCAUCCUAUAGAUGACUGUGAGCAUCCACUUCUGUAUUUGCCAGGCACUGGCAUAGCCUCACACGAGACAGCUAUAUCAGGGUCCUUUCAGCAAAAUCUUGCUGGCAUGCAAUAGUGCCUGCAUUUGGUGGCUGAUUAUGGGAUGGAUUCCCAGGUGGGGUAGACUCUGGAUGGUCCAUCCUUUCCUCUUAGCUCCAAACUUUGUAACUCCUUCCAUAGCUCUUACUUCUUACCCCUCACUCUCUCCCCUCUCUCCUCUCUGUGUUCUCUCUCUCACUCCUUUGUUCUCUUACCUCUCACUUCUCUCUCAUCUCUCUUCUCUUCCCUUUCUCUUUGUCAUCUCCUCUCUCUUUCUCUCUAGCCUCCCCCCUUCCUUCUCUUCCCCCACCCCUGCAUUUCGUUAAUAAAGCUCUUAAACCAUAGAAAGUCUCUGCUCCAUCAAGAUCCACUGCACACCGGACAUGGGCUAUUCCCCCACCCUUUCUUCCCCAGGGCUUUCCUCAGGGCCCCCCUUUUGUUCCCAACAAAUGAUAGAAUUUGAUAUAUCCAGUGAUUUUUUAAGAGGUAACAUUGACUUCUGAAACUGCAUUUAAAGUUGAAACUGUUUUUUACUGUGUUGAGAGGAAACACUCCAAAGAUAUGGAAAUUGCAGAAUUUUAUUAAAACACAUAGACAAAGGAAAAAGAAAAGACACAACAAGGAAAUUCUUGCCACUUAUUUUAGAUAUUUAAAAUUUAUUGUGAACAAUUUCCUGUAUUAAUCAGAAUACAAUACUUCUCAAGCUUUGUACAAUUUAUAGGAGAAAGUUGGCAUUGAAAAUGUCCUUGUAUUUUAUAGCUAAUUGGAUUUCAGUCUAUUGUGCUUCCAGAAACCAUGCUAAAUAUUGACUCACACAAAUAAUCUCUACUUACCUAAAUUUAGUACUCUUGUUUUAAAUGUUUUGCAUAUAUUUGACAACUUUCUGUGUUCUAUUAGGAGAAUAUUGGGUGCCUGCGCUAAUUCCAAAGAACAUGGUUAUUUUUCAGUUGUGUUGGAAAGAGUCAUGAUUUUUAAAUCUAUUUCAUUAUUUGAUUCCUGUCAUAGAAAACUUUUAAUUUAAUUGACAUUUUAAUUAAUAAGUAAGGAGUUCUCAGAGAUACUACUUGACACAAAACAACUGUUUUGAUACUGUGCCGCUGCUUGUCAUUUUAUUUGUGUAUUAGAGCAUGACACACAAGUUUUCUUGUCUAUAUGGAACACCUAAGGAAUUAGCCAUUAAUUGAAAAAAUACCGGCAUCUCUUAGGACAAAAAGUAGUAUUUCAGCCUAAUUAAAUGUAUUAAUUAAAAAUAGAAUCUUUAGAUGGCUUUCAUGUAUUACCAAACUCACAAUACAGUCCUAUUCCAGGAAUUGUUGGUUACUUCUCCUUAUUUUUUGUUUGAAUAUAAAAGAAUAAACCAUCGAAAUUUAUCUUCUGGAAUCUUCUAGGAUCAAUAAAGAUAUUUUUUUUCCACUAUUGACAUUAAAGACUGAAUGUUCAAGCAAUGUGUUUAUUAUUCUUGAUAUGUUUUCUUUGUUACACACUCAAGAGUGGACACAUUUUCCAUGUAGAAUCGUAACAGUACACUUAGCCAGCAUGACCUAGAGAUCUUUCUUCUUUACCAGCAACUCUCUCAGGUGCUAAGCCUUCUUCAUGCUCUGAACUGAUGGAUUCUAGAGUGGAGCCAUUUAAUGGGACUCAAUCUAAAUUUUUGAAAUUAGAAGUAUUUCAGAUUCCUGGGUUCUUGGAUUUGGAGAUAUUGGUAUGGAAUUUCAAACAUCGAUUGUCCCCUAGGGUGAAAAUCAGCCAUUUUCCAAAAUCAGAAAUGACCUAGAAUCUGUAAACUUAUGCGGGCGAAUGAUGCUCAAUAUUUUUAGCUUCCCUUCAGAAAAUAGAAAUACUAAAUUCUUGAGUUUUCCAAUAGAUACUGUCUGUGUGUCUCAAAUGAGCCUUGUGUUCUAUAAAUAUCAACAAUGAAUAUAUGCUAACCAAACAUAGUAGAAAGGUUCAAAUUGUAAUGUUUUAUGGUUCAGACUUUGAUAUGUGAGAAGAUAAGCUUGGGUUGUCUCGAGUUUUCACCAUUUCUGUAUGCUAAUUGUUUUGACAUCAUAUUUGAAAGCAACGUGAAAUCAGUUAAGAGUCAUAAUACUACAUUAUAGCCAUAGAGCAUUAUUUCUAAUGAUAUCAUGUGAAUUUCAUUUAUUCUUCAUUUACAAUCAUUAUCUGAGUAGACUCUUAUUUUGAACAUUCUGUCUUACAAGUUUAGAAGACCGUCCUUAAACAUCUAAAUGUUCAUGCCACCCUCAUUUUCAAAUAACAUGGGCCACACAGACACGGUUCUACACUCAGAAACAAGGCUAAUAAGAAGUUGCCUCGAGGCAACAGAACAUGCUGGAGGCCUAUAAAAGACCUUGUGCAGAAAUGCUCACCCUGUAUGCCACAGGGUAUUGCAAAUGGGACUGGGGCCCAGAAAGGAAUAGAAUGGAAAAUUUAUAGGUAAGGGAGUGUCCCUAGAGGAGAGUACAUUGAUAAAAUGAGAUUACACCAUAAAUUUCCAAAUCCUGAUAUGAGAGACAGAGGCUCCAGAAUCAUUCUUACAUCACACUCCAUGCUUGAAUAGAUAAGACUUUUGUUCUUGGCAUUAAAAAUGCCAUGGAAGGAAAGGGAAGACAACUGCAGUUGUCAUGUGUAGUGUAGGAACACAAUGAUACCUCUAGAAAGCUACUCACAGACCCACAGCAGAGAUACCUGAGGUACAGACAUGGGAAGGAACAGUUCAGCAGUGAAGGCAUACAUAACUGCUUUUCAGAGAACAGAGGAGUAAAACAAAACAUUUUAAUAUUUAGUUUUUACAAUUAAAAAUAAUAUUUGAUAUCUGGGAAUUUUGCCUACAUGUUUAUCUAAGAACAAUUGUGAUGCUUUUGAGGGUCAGAAUAGGGUAUUAGGUCCCCUGGCACCAGAGUUACAGAAUGUUAUUAAUCACAAUGCUGGGAAUCAAACCCAUGUCUUCUGAAGAACAGCCAGUGGUCUUUACUCCUGAGUCAUCUCUUUAACCCCUGAUGGUAAUUCUCUUGAUUAAAAAUUGAAAAUUUCCACCUUUUAAGUCAAGUCUUUUUAAGCAUGGGUCUAUACUAUAUUUAUUCAACAUCUCCCCUUUAAGACUCCUUAUACAGAAGAGAUCAUAGAUUAUUUCUGCUUGUUAUUGUUUAUUUACUUGGCAGGUGUGACCUAUUUAUUCUUGUUUUCUCUAGUGGAAAUUAGAAUGCAUCUUCUAUAGAUUAAAUUACAGGGCAAGGACUUGGGUUAAUCAUACUGUAGAACACACUUGGCAUUGAAGAUAAAUCUGAGGUACUUUCAGCAAAUAGGAAAGAAUCAUUUUGAAGAGUGAUGGAUAUCUUUAUUUGUGCUGAUAAGUUAAACACUUAUAUUUACAUAUAAUACCUUAUUAGACUAUAUAUAUAUAAUAUAUGCAUAUAUUAUAUACAUAAAUAAUAAAAAUAGACAAGCAUAGACAAGCUGAAUAUGGCCCAGCACACAUGAGGCAGGAUCAGAAGGAUUAAGUUUUGUUCUAUUCUGGAUUACAGAGUAUGAUCCUGUCAUACACAAAUAAACACACACACGUUAAAGGGAAAGCAAAAUGAACUUAGCAGUCAGUUUUCUCAAAUCCAAGAAUCCUGAGGUAACCUGGGAAUUCUAUGCCAAAAUAUGUUGAACCAUCUGAAAUUACUAAUAUUUACUUUCUUUUAACUUACAGAUUUUUCAGUUAAUAUAUCAAGUGUAACAUAUUUAUCUUGGUAAGUUAACUUCAUUACAGUUAAAAAAAAUAUGGCGAUUUCUCCUUGGUAAAGGGCCAGUGGCAGCCCAGUCAUUAAAACGUUUUAUUCACCUUAUCUGAGAUUCUGUAAGUUUUCCUUUAUAUCUGCAUCAGCAAACAUCACAGAUCCUAAAGUGAUUCACCUUCUGCAACUGCUUGUUAAUGCACCCAGCUGCCUAACCUCGGCACAUUUUCACUGUUUAAACGAUGUGGGUAGUCCCUUCUUCUUGUUGAUGGUUUUGUUCUGCUUUUACAUAAUCCGUAGUUCACAUUACAUCCCAGUUGUAGCCUUGCUUAUUUCUAUCCCCUGCUCUUCCAUAGGACUCCCCGAGCUCUACCUAAUGUUUGGCUGUGGGUCUCUGCAUCUGUUUCCAUCCACUGCUGGAUGAAGCCUCUCAGAAGACAGUUUAUGCUAGGUUCCUGUCUUCAAGCAUAGUAGUGUAUCAUUCAUAGUGUCAGGGGUUGGCUUGCUCCCAUGGAAUGGGUCUCAAGUUGGGCCAGUCCUCAGUUGGCCAUUCCAACCAGAAGUCUCUGCUUCGUCUUUAUCUCUGCACAUCUUGUAGGCAGGACAAAUUGAGGGUUUCCUGGGUGGAUCCAUGUCCCCCACCUUCCACUGGAUGUCCUGCCUAGCUACUAGAGGUGGUCACUUCAGUCUCUUUAUCCCCUGCUCAUUCCUUGUCUUAACCUCAGAAAUUUAGGAAAUGGCCACUUUACUCAUGCUGUUUUAGAAACAUGUGUAAGGACCUGUAAGCAUAGUGAAGUCCCUGCUUGAUUCAGGGGUAUUUCACAUCCUCUUUUAUUUGAUAAGAAGAAAAUGAAGUGGUUUAUUAACAUCAUAAGUCAGUUCUGCUAUGCCGGUAUGCCCACUCUCUCACAGGGAUGCAGCUAUGGAAUACAGAUGCACAUUCCUCUUACUAAUAUUACUGCACUCUUGCGUUUUAGUACACAAGGAAAAAAAAAUCGAGGCUGCCACUCAGGAAAUUACAUGAUUUAAAAGCAUAGCCCUACACUUCCUACAAUACACCUGAGAAAACCGUUGUUUUUUUCCUCAUUAAAUUUACAGUAUACAUUUCAACUUCCCCUAAAACAGGUGAGGAAAUUCAAUACUACUACAUUUUGGACCCUCAAGACUGAGGAAGAUCCUGGCAGCAGUUCAAAAAUAAUGACAUAACAAAGAAAAGAAAAAAAAAUAGAUGUUGAUUUUUUCCAUGGAUGUUGAAGACUUUAAUCAUUGACCAAACAGAGAUUUGGGGCCUAUUUGACAAUCAUGUCUACUUGGAAAGCCAUAUUGAGUAUUUCUGUUCAGUCAGCUACAAAGCACUGGUUACAGAGGAAUUUAUUGGGGGGGGGGGAGAGGGGUUACCAAAACAAGAUGCUGCUGUGAUUUACUGAUAUACAAGGCUGAUGCUGAAUUAAGCUUUAAUUCAGCUGUAGUUAGAGACCAGGUCUUUAUUAUCUUUUCAUAAACACAAGUACACAUACAUGCUCCCAGACACCCCUAAUUUUAUGUAAUUAAUUGGGCUCCUGGUUGGGGACUUUAAAUCGUUUGUGGUGUGGUUAAGUCAGACAUCAAAGACGGUGAGUAUGGCAGAGGAGUAGCUUGAGAGCAGUGUUUAUAACUUAUUAAUUAUAGAGUCUAAGGAUAUGUUACUGCUUGGUUAUUAAAUGAUAAUAGUAAUCUGAGCCAAUUUGAUUAUUCAAAUAUUUGUGCUUCCUGCAUGAAAGCUCUACUGUUGUAGAAAGAGAUUUUCUGAAUUCAUUAUUACCUGUAUGCAGUGGAGUUUUUGUUAUCUGUCUUUUUUUUUUUUUUUUUUUACUAAUUUUAGUACUGUGCACUUUAUUUCCUUUUAGCAGAUAUCUUAAGUUUUGCCUUUUGCAGGAAGGAUAGAUCUCACAGAGACUUUUGAGAUUUCUUUUGAGUAUCAUUUCUGUGAUCCUACCUUCCAUUUGUCUACUUUCCUAGCACGUUCUAUAAGUUUAUAUUCCCAAGGAUGUAUUUUUUCUUCAUAUACUUGAAAAUCCUCUGAUUAUACCAUGUACAACAUCAUGUAACAUCAAGAUUUCUUCCAGAAAGUCACAGAGUGAACUAAAUUCUGAGGACUAGGGCUCAAGCGAUCUGUUGCAACCAUGAAUCAUCUCUAGCAUCCAGGUAUCUUCAAUCUUGAUUCCUUAAUAGUUUUAUAAUAGUGUGGCAUUAAACUGUUCUCAAGCCAAGAACAACAGAGAGGAUGCAAUGAGCAAUGAGAUGCCCACUCAUUCAAUGUGUAUGAUACAUGAUGAUGAUGCCUUCUAGUUGGCAUCGAGGACAACACAAUGGACAGCAUAUACCUCAAGCUUAGAUAGUUCACAGUCUAAUGCUAUUCAUUUAUUUCUAUUUCAGUAUACAAUAGUAAUAGAAUAACAGAAUCCAUUGAAAGAAGUUACUCCUAAUGAGACGUUGUAUAUGAUAUUAAUCUUUUGUUCCAUUGAUACACAUUUCAAGUUUUAUUUUAACCUUACAAAUCAAAAGGCAUAAGUUAUCCUGCCCUAUUAUUUGUGUCUCAUUAUCCUGUGAAGUUCUUGGAAUGUCUUUGAUUCACCAAGUACAACUCAGCCUGCCAGAGGAGGGGCUGUAUUUCUUUUUGAUUUAUCCAACAACAGAGUGGAAUCAGGAGCAUUAUACCUAUCUACUAUUGCAGAUUUUAUAUUGUAAUAUUACUUAAAAAUGAUUUUUCUUAUAAGCUUAUUGUAUACUCUGGCAGAAAAAGAGGGGGCUUGCUUAUAUUAAUUUUUUUUCUGGGCCAUGUUUUACAUGUUAAAAGAUUUUGGCCUACACAUUCCAAACUAAAUGUUAUAAUAGCUAUUCCUUUUGAUAAUGAUGAUCUUUUUUUGCAGUAGUUUUAAUUUACUCACUAAGAAGUUACUUAAUGUCUUACUUAAUUGUCAUUGGCCUCUUUUCAUGAAUCAUUUAACCAGAAUAUACUGAAAUGAAGGCCUUGUUCAAGUAUGAUGAGAGAUACAUUUUUGAGUGCAGGCUGUAGUCAUAGUAUCUUUUCUCCUGGUGCCUAUGUCUUUUAACUUGCCUCAUCUAGCUUUGGUCAAUGUCGAAGUUACCUGCUUGAGUUAUGUAAGUGCCUCCUCUGGGUGGCUUCUAGGGGUACAUUGGUGCAGUAACCAGGAUAUUCAGAGAACAUAACCAUUCAUCCAGUAUGUAAAUAGUUUGCUUGUGUGUAUUUCUGUAUAUGCUGGUACACGUGCACAUGUAUAUAUUUGUGGAAUCCAGAGGCCAACUUCAAGGAUCAUUUCUGACAUUAUUAAUUGAGACAGGUGCUCUCUGUGACAUGGGGCUUGCCAAGUAAGAUAGACUGUUUGGCCACUGAGCCCCAAAUCUGCCUUUCUCUAUCUUCCCAGCACUGAGACUACAAGUGUACAUUGCAUCAUGCCUCUCUCUUAUUCAUGGAUUCUGUGGUUCAAAUUUAGGUCUUCAAGUUUGCCAGGCAAGCACUUUCCUGACUGGGGUAAACUUCAGCAUUGUGUAUUAAGAUUAUUGUAUUCGAAUUAUGCUGUAUUGUGUAUGGUGUGUUAGGGAAGAAGACUUAUUCACUCUUGUGCUGGACAGGAUUGCUCUGGACUGUCUUCCUUGAAGAUCAGCAUAAAUGUGAAUCAUGAUUAUUUGUUGUUUGAGGAAACAGCAAACAUCAUGAUGAGAAGUGUCUGUAGAUGCCACUUCACUGUGGUCAAGAGAGGGAUUCAUUUGAUGUUGCAUUUCAGUGAGGUACAGCUAGAAAUUUUUAGAGUUGUAAAUGUACACUUAACCUUCUUCAUGGUUGAAAGAAAAAGAGAGUGAAGUACAAAAGACUGAGAGUGAGAAGGCUGUAACUCAUGAGCCAAUAUAGUGCUGUACAAACUUUGACUUGUUUCCUAUAUUUUACUCUUCCUAUGGGGGGGGGGGAUGUUUCAAAAGCAUUUUUUCAAACACCUGUUUUUGGACAGUGGCCAUAAGCCUGGAGAUGUUGUGGAGUUGUAGAAACUAAACAUUAAUUAACAUGUAAUCCUUAUGUGCUCUUACUUUACUAACAAACUAAUGGAUUCAUAGCAAUAGUCAUAUUGAUACCUAUAAGAAGGUCACUUAUUCUUGUCCUUGUAACGUUUCGCCAGCAAAACAGACUUGGACAGCCAGAUCCUUCUAUGGCAAAGCUUUAUUGCUUACAUCUCAGGAAGACUUCGAAUACAGGAAACUCAGUCCUUUUAAAACCCACAAGAGUGGUUGGAGACGUGACUCACCCUGACUGGCUGCUCACUAUCAGCCCAGAUGACGCGCCACGGGACAGGCAGGGAACAAGGAAUGGAGAAAUACCCCAGCACAUACGCAGACUAAUUGUUUAUCAGUUAGAACACCGGAUAUGAUUGCAAGGGCGGCUCCUUACAACUUAUGAUUAACAAUGAAUGUAGUAAUAAUGAUUGGGAAAACUCCAAAAAAAAAAAAAAGCUCUGUUUUCAAGUGACUUGAUUUGGUUGAAUACUGAGGAUCAAAAAUCAGAUUUCUCAUAGUUUCAGCAGCUGAUCUCAAUGUAGGAGAAUCUACGCAGAUAAUCGCUUGGAAAAGUCAUUAAGAUAGGCUGUUAAACACUUCAGACUCAUCAAUGUACAAAUAUGCUGUAUGUUUUACACAUUUACAUUGAAAGGGUCUAUAAUCCUUUUGAGUCAAAUUGACUGUAAAACGAUUGUGAUUUUCAGUCUAUCCUAUUUUAUAACUUUUUUUGGGAAACAUGAUUUUAUCAAGGACUUAGAAUAUUUGGUCAUUAUACAUAAACAAAUAUACACAUACACAUAUACAUACAUAUACACAUGCACAAAGACAUUCCCUUAGUGUUUAUACUGACUUUGAAAAUACUGAAGUCAAUUUCUACUGCCUUUUCAUGUGAGACCUUAAUCCUUCCAGAUUUAAGUUAUUUUUCCACAUUUCAUUAUUGAUUCAGUUUGCUAAUUCUCAAAUAUUUUCCUAGGCCUUUUCAUCAGUGUUUUUGCUGCUGGGAUUGUUUACCAGACUCUUGUAUUUUAAAACACCUUUAAACAACGCAGAGCAUCUUAAAACUUGUCUUUAAUUAACACAGCUCUUUGGUUGCCUUCGCCUCCCUGAACCCAAUUGCACACGUGGCAAUUAGCUAUGUGGAAUGCUUUAUCAAAUGCCCAAUGGGCCGUACCCAUUGUAAAUUUCUAGGGAGUAGGGAAUGAAUUUUUGACUCAGUUGCCAUUUAUUAUUAUAAUUUUUUCUACUUCAGUUACAUACAGCAGAAUAUAAUGAGCCAGUGAUACAUACAGUGAGAAUACUAAAAGUAUGUUUGCUAAUGAUGUGUGGAGUAGAAGCGAGGCUGGAAAUCUGUGCUUAGAAAGGGUAGAGAUCCUCACUCUCACCAUUGGACUAAGGUCAGGGAUCCCUUUGGAAGAGCUGGGGGGAGGAUUAGAGGAGCUGAAUGGAACGGCAACCCCUUAGGAAGAGCAAUGUUGCCAACUAAUCCAGGCCCUUGGAAGCUCCCAGAGACUAAGCCACCAACCAAAGAGCAUACAUACAUGGGAUGGUCUGAGUCCCCAGCGUGUAUGUAGCAGAGAACUGCCUUGUUUGGCCUUGGUAGGAAAGGAUGUGCCUAAUCCUGUAGAAACUUGAUGCACCAGGGAAGGGGGAUAUCUGUGGGGGUGGAGGAGCACCCUCUUAAAGGUAAAGGGGGAAUAGGGUGGAGAACUCUGGUAUAGGGCCUAGGAAGAAGGCAACAUAUAAAGUAAUCAAAAAAAAAAAAAAAAAAAAAGAUGGUGUCUAAAGUGAACAUGGAAGCUCCUGUCCAUACUAAAGCCAAAGCCAAAGCCAACGAGAAGGCCUUGAAAGCUAAGAAGGCAGUGCUGAAAGGCCACAAAAAGAAGAUCCGAACUUCACCCUCCUUCCAGUGGCCCAAGACCCUGUAGCUCUGGAGGCAGCCAAAAUAUCCUCGAAAGAGUGCUCCCGGGAGAAACAAGAUUGACCACUCUGUCUUCUUUAUGGCUGACUCGGGGUCAGUAGGAAUUUGAUGAUAGCAGAGGACAACAACAUACUUGUGUUCAUUGUGGAUGUCAAGGCCAACAAUCAAGCAGGCCAUGAAGAAACUCUAUGACAUUGAUAUGGCCAAAGUGAAUAUACCAAUAAGGCCUAAUGUAGAGAAGACAGUAAAUGCUCACUUGUCUCUUGAUUAUGGUGCUCCAGAUGUUGCCAACAAGAUUUGGAUCAUUUAAACUGAGUCCAUAUAGCUAACUCUAGAUAUACACUUUUUUUCAACAUAAAAAAAGGUUAGAUAUCCUAGGCUACAUGUAGUAGCAGGAGAUGUUUGGAAUUUGGGCAUCUAAUUUCAGGGAGAAUCUGAUCACUUUUUUCCCCCCCUAUUUUCUAACUUUGCCUCCACCAGGUCAUGGUACUGCUGGAGAAGUAGAAACUUUCAAAUUCAGUAGGAAGAGGACAAUAACCACAAUUUUGUAGAUUGAUAUGGGUAAGGCAAAAACAGCAGGUCUUCUACUCUACGUUCUGGAAUUUAGCAUUUCUUAACUGUCAUUGCCCACAUAUGAGGAUAUUGUUGCUUUCUCAAAAUUAAGCAGCAAGGAAACUAAAAGCACUUAAACAAAUGCUAAAUAAACCAUAAGCAUUCAGUGGCAUUAUCAUCUCUAAUUGACAGUUGUAGCAUUGUGAUUCAGGAAGGUCUAAAUGAAUCUGAAUCUGUCCAAGGUCACACCAUUAGGGAUGGGUUGAGGUAAGAUUCCUGCUGUUCCAUAUUAAAUCUACACAGUCACAUUGUCUCCUUACUAGUAUUAAACUUUUCCUUAUAACAUUAUACACAUCUCCCCAAUAUCUAAAACCAAUCACUAGAAAAUCCUAAUUUUAUUCCUCCACAUAUUACAAACUCAGUUCUUAGUAUUUCCCCUAAAACAAUUCAUAUGCUGCUUUAUACACUCCUGUUGUCUUUUAUAGAGCAGUAAUAGGAGAUACAGUUCAGAGAUGGUUGAAAUAUAGUAUAGAGUGGUUAAAUAUAUUCACUCCGUUGAUGAAAUUACAGUAACUUCUGAGUUCUAAAUCUCUGUCUAAGUCUAGAGACUGUCUUCUGUUUUAUUUUCCUAAUCUUGAGACCAAGAAAAUACUAUCAGUGUUCUUUCUACCACCACAGCAAGAGACAUUUUAAUAAUUAAACACAUAUUUGUACAAGCAUAUAUAACCAAUGUGCAGUGAAAGCAAGACACUUCUCAAAUGAAGGUGGAAUUUGCCCUCAGUUUGAGUAUUUCAGAACCCUAUUAUGAAUCCUGUCAGAAGUCCACGAUACAUAUCCAAAAUGCCUUAAUUGUAUAUCUAAAGACAACAGGUUGAAUGCAUCCCCAGGAUUAUAGUGUAUAGAUGAUAAAUCCAAGCCUGUAAUAAGGGUAAGUUCAAUUAACUAUUAAUUUUAUCACUUUGGGGACAUUCAAUAAAUAGAGGUAAAUGAAUGAUUGUCUUCAGGCUGCAAAUUUGAAAGUGAAACUUGUGCACUAUUUUCUCCCUUUCUGUUUUCAGAAGCAAUGAAGGCAUGAGAAAUUGACAAAUCAAUCAUAAGUCAAGCUAGUGCACCAAAAAAUAUGUAGUCUGAAACACAGAGAAGACAAGGCACCUGUAAUAAAUACACACAAUUUCACAGACUCUGACACUUGGCAAUAAAAUAUUUAACCAAACAUGUGAGAAAAAGAAUAAAAAGAAAAUACCCAGACGCUAGUAAAAAGUAAAUGUUGUGUCCAUCUCUGACAGAACUGAUAUGUGAGAGAUUAUAGAUUACAACAUCCACUGAAAUGUAACUUCCAGAAUAGCUGGAAAAAUAGUCAGCUCUAUUAUCAACAGUGUCUAUGUGUGUACAUUUAGAGUAAUAGGCAUGAACUGAAAAUGAAAGCCACACUCAUUAUGUUUGUGUUUCUUUAGUAAAAGAGGUGUAGAUCUUAACACAGGAAGAUUCCAAAGCAGAGUUAAACAUCAAGAUCUAUGAAAGACUGCAGAUCCACCCACUGAUACACAAAUUCAUGGACAAUCAAGUCCCUUCUAUAGGAUGACAAUAUCUUUAUACAAUGUAUACAUAUAUAGAUUUCCUAUAAUGGAUAUUACAACACAAAUGUGAUAUGCAUAGUUAGUAUGUUUUAUUAAAGAAUAUUAAGAAGAGUAUCUAAUAUGUAUACAUGUUUAGUGCAAACACAGUUUCUUUCCAAAUAUUUUGAUCCAUAAUUGGUUGAGGUGGUGAAGGUAGCACCCGGUGGUUUGAAGUGUGAGUUUUGGUUAGAAAUUUCCACAUGUAUUCAAUAGGUAUUAAUAGGAUAACAUAGCUGAAGAGGUGCAUAGUCAAAUAAAUGUUUAAAAUACUGGAAUAAUAAAGAUAACAAAUUUUUCUCAGGGAUCUUAACAUUGGGAGUUUAAAGUAAGAGUUAAAAGAAUCCAGCACUACUUAAAGCCAUGCGCCCAGAGCUUUAGAGGCCUUAUGUUCUAAAUAUGAACUAUGGGGAACCUUUCUGAGAAUUACACAAACACCUCUUUUCCAUUCUGAGGCUGUGGGAGGCAGAAGCUGCCCUCGCUCCUUUCUGCCACUACUGUAUAAGAACGCAUCUGAGGUAGAUCGGUGUUCCUUGGUAAUUUGUCAAUUAAAACACAAUUCUAUAUUGCAUGCAAUCUUGAAGAAUAUGAUAGACUACUAAUAUCUUGAUGAUAUUGCCAAACAUAGUUGGUAAGACAGACUCCAUUUGAAAUUGACUUUAAAUUACUUUUAUUCUUUAUAUAUAUUUUUUUUAAUUUCAGAGAGGAAAUCCCUUAUUCUAGUUGGAUUUGAUGACGAAUUUCAAUUAACUUCAAUGCAUUAAUUUCUUGAUAUUAUCAUAUGUGGAGAAAUGUGUGUUUUCUUAGGACUAUACAACUUUUAAUAUGUAUAAAAUGUAGCAUUAUUUAUGGUUUCUUCUUGACAUGGGUGGAACACUACUUGGAGUUUCCUCUUCAAAGUCCAAAGUCCAAAGCACAAUUUAAUAUUUUCUUAUUAAUAUAAAGUAAAGCUAUGACUAUAUCUAUAUUUAAAUCUAAAUCUAUCUAUAUAUACUAUAUCUAUAACUAUCAUUUUAUAUAUCUGUAUCUAUCUAUCUUUCUAUCUAUCUGUCUAUCUAUCUAUCUAUCUAUCUAUCUCUAUGAAAAAUGAAUGCAUAUAGAUAAUGUGCCUUGUAGCAGUUUUAGUUAGGAUUUCUCUUGUUGUGAAGAGAUACCCUGAUUACGGCAACUCUUGUAAAGGAAAAUAUUUAAUUGGGGCACUGGCUUACAGGACCAGUGGUAUAGUCUAUUAUCAUCAUUGCAGGAAGCAUGAUGGCACACAGGUAGACAAAGUGCAGGAGAGGUAGCUGAGAGUCCUGUGUAUUAAUUGGCAGGUAGCAGACAGAAAGAGUGAAAUUGGGUUGGUUUGAGUGUCUAAAUCCUCAAAGCCCAUCCUCUGUGACAUACUUCCUCCAAGAAGGCCACACCCACACCAAAAAGGCCACACCUCCUAAUAGUGCCUCUCUAUGCACUAUAAGCUUAUGGGGGACAACUUCAUUCAAACCUCUAGAGCAGUCCUACACAUACAUGUAUACAAAGAGUUACUAUAUAUAGGCAUAUAAUAAUAUACUGGAAAAGUAUAUUUUUUUCAAUUUAUCAAGAUAAAGCAUAUAGAUAUCAUCUCAAAACGAUAAGAUAACUAAAUACUUUCAUGAUAAUUCCAUGAAUUAAUGUAUCAGAAGUUUCUUACAGUAGAUAUGUCCAAUAUCAAACUGAAAUUCUUUUAUACAACUAUAACCAUUUGCUUAAUAUUAUGUUUUUUUUAAUUACUAAAAACAUUCUUUCUCAUUUUGAAUGAAAGUUCUCUUAUGUCAAAACAUAAAUAAAACUCAGUGGUAUCAUAAAACCAAAUUAUUAGAAUACAAAUUUGUAAAAACAAAUCAAAGUUUUACACACUUGAACUAAUUUUGUGUGUUCAACUGCAUUAGAUUUUUUUCAUUUUAUAAUAUUCUUUGUAAGUGUUAUUUCUUGAGUUUUAACAACUUUCUUAAAAUAUAAUUUACCCAAGAUAAAAAUGUACUAUCAUAAGCUUUUCACUUGGUAUGUGUGAAGAAAUAUAUGUAACCAUAUGUACAACUCAAUAUGUAUGUGUAUGGAAACAUAUAUAUGCAUAAGUCCACACAUAUACAAAUGUAUGAAUGGUACUACUGUGUUCAAUUUAAAGAAAAGUAUGUCAUAGUUAGGGUUUUAUUGUUAUAAACAGAUACUAUAACCAUGACAACUCUUAUAAAGGAAAAAAUCUAACUGGGGCUGGCUUAUAAUUCAGAGGUUUAGUCCACGAUUUUCAUGGCAGUAAGCAUUGUGGCAUGAAGGGAGACGUGGUGCUGGAGAGUUCUAAAUAUUGAUAUACAGGCAGCAGGAAAAGUAUGCCACACUGGACAUGGCUUGAGCUUCUGAUCCCUCAAAGCCUUGUCCCACUGACAUAGUUCUCUAAUAAGACCUCACCACCUAAUGCACUAUUUCCCGUGAGCCUAUGAAGACCACUUUCAUUCAAAACACCACAGUAUCUAUCCUUCUUCAAAUUUCUUUGUAGUUCUAUCUAUGUGGAAUCUGUCUUCAUUCACAUCUCAGUAGUCCCUGGCCGACUUUCUCUCACUGUAGGUUAUAACACAAAUCACAACAUAGAGUCUUUUGAAUCUUCUCACAUUACCGUGAUCCUAUAACUAUUUAUGCUGUAAUGUGAACUUACAGUUCAUGUCUUUUUAUCACCAAGUAGUAUGUUAUUGUUCAGAUAGUCUAUAGCUGUUUAUCCAGUUGCCAGUUGUGAAAUUAAAAAAAAAAGUUAUCCAUUUGUGGUUAUUAGAAGUAUGUGCCUACUAAUUGGCACAUUUAAGUCUUUGCGUGAAUAUAUGUAUAUGUGUGUUUGUGUGGUGGGGUGGGAGAGAAAGUUAAUUCCCAAUGCUGUUUAAGUUUGUGAGCAUCCCUAAAUACACUACACUAAGGUUCUAGUUUUGCUAAUUUAGACAGUCUUUGUGUAGUUAUACCAGUGGCUGGUAUGUGUGUGUGCUUGUGUGUGUGCGUGUGUGUGUGUGUGUGUGUGUGUGAGCGUGGGUGUGAUACUACUGUGUAUAGCUUUAGUUUGUAUUUCAUAAUAAAUAAUGAUAUCAAGGAUGCUUUUACGAACUAGACAUUUAUAUACUGCCUUUGAAGAAAUGUUUAAACAGAUGUAAAUCACUUAUCAAUUGAUUGAUUUACAUGCAUACACCAGAACUUUUAUAGAUAGGUAGAUUAUAUGUAGGUACUCUAUUUUAGUAUCUGACUUUCCUUUUCACUUUCUGAAUAUUGAUUUUUGAAGAACUUCGCCAGGUGCUUUCUUCAGACCAUUGGUUGGCAUUGUACUAUACAAUAUGCUAGAGAUGUUUGCUUCAUUGCUACACACAAUUCUCUACUUUUCUAAUUAUGCUAUGUCAGCUACCAUAUUCAGAUAAUUGAUUCAUUUUAGUAUGUUUUAUGUAAGUCACAGAUACCUUAUCACUCAAGAUCAUUAUCAAUGGGAGAGAGUUAAGUUCCCUCUUCUAUUGUUUAAUAUCCUUAUUGCAAAACUCAUUAAUUAAUAGAAGGCCAUAUUGCUAGACUACACCUCAUGCCAUUGAAUGUGUCUGUAAGCCCAAGUUCAUGAAAAUAGGACAGAUCCUGAUGACCAUAGCUGUAUCUCCCAUUUAUAAAAUAUUUUAGUUUUGACUCUCUUUAAAAAUCAUUUACACCGUUCUAAAAUUUUUGUCAUUUCAUGUAAGCUCUCUUGUUUCUUACAAAGUAUAACAACAGAUCUUUCUGAGCUUAAUGGAGAUUCUGUCGUCAGUCUUGCUGGGGCAGACUGCUGUUCUAACAAUAUUACUCUUCCCUCAGAACAUGUGGAUCAUGUUAUUUUAUUUAUGCUUUGAUUUCCCUCGACAAUAUUUUAAAGGUUUCAUUUCAUAGGCCUUGGAAGUCUAUUAAGUUUAUUUAUAAAUAAUUUUAUUCCUUUCAUGCUACCAUAUGUUUAUAUUUAAACCAGUCUUUCUGCCCACAAUGCAUACACAUAUAAUUGGCUUUUAUAUUAGUCUUGCAUCUUUGGGUCAUGCUAUAUUUAUUUAAUAGGCCUAAUAAACUCAUUAUAGAGUGACUAGGAUGUCAAAAUCCCAUUCUGGAUAUUUCUCAGAAACAGACUCUUAUGUUCUCAGUAAUACAGAGGAGUGACUUUUCAGAUGACAGAAUAAAUUGUUGUGGGUAUUUCUGUAUAGGGUCAUGCUAUUCUAACUAUGAUGAAUGGUUCACAAAAAGUUAACUAUAUGUGCAUUUUGAGUGUUUAUUUGAUGAUAGCUAAAAUUACUAAUGUUCAUGUUUUAACACCAUUUCUCAUAUACAUAGGAGAUGUGGAGAAAAAAAUAAGAACAUACAAUCUGGCAGUAGAAUAGAUUCGAGUAAUUUAAGAGACCUUUGGUGGUAAAAUGCCCCCUUUACCCCAAAGAUGAAUAUUUAAAGUGAAUACUUUUUUCAAUACUAAUUGUGUUAACAAAUAUUCCUCUUUAGUGUUGAUUUCAUUAAAGAAACUGUUUGCAUCUUCUCAUACUUACUGCUUAAUUUACAGUUUACAGCAACAAUGCUCUUUUUAAUUUCUAUUUAAGUGCUGUAAAUUGUACUCUUUAAAACCACAUUAAACAUAAAUUUUCCUAUUCAUUUUAAGUGUCUUGUAAACUAAUUCUAAGCUAAGUUUACUCAUCUCUUACUUUAGGAAGAUGAACAUUUUUUUUCUUGAAUAUUUUUGGGUAUUUUUAACUAUAUAAAAUACAAUCUUCUCUUCAGCCAUAGUAUUAGCUGUUGCAAUGAUAAACACAUGCAGUUUACUGAUGACUAUGGGAAUAUCCAGUACAUACCUUACUUUCUAGGUAAAAUGCAGGUUUACUUGGUUUUCAGUUUGUUAUUUCUUUUUUAAGGGUUUUACUUUCUAAUAUUAACUAAUUAAUAUGAGAAAGGGCUCAGGGCUCAACUGCUGACAUGGACUGUAGAUGGGACCAGGAAGGAUCAGCACUGGGAGGGCUGAAGGAGAGACAAAGGGAAUAUGAACGGUAUCUCUACAUUGAGCUAGAAACCUAGGACAAUGGAAACUCCCACGAAUCUAUGAGGUUGUCCAUAGCUAAAACUCCUAGCAAUGGGAGAUAUGGAGCCUGAACAGUUUGUUAUUUCUUAAGCUGAAUACAUUUGUAAAUUAAGGGCACAAAUGAAAAAUGCUGUAUAACUCAGACAUGCAAAAUAGAAUUCAUAUACAGACUUUUGGAAUGUGACUGAAGAUUAUGCUACACAUAAAUUAGACUUUUUUUGUUAGUCUAUGGCUCUUGCUUUUAUUAUUAUUUUUAUUUUUUUUUAAUUAGGUAUUUUCCUAAUUUACAUUUCCAAUGCUAUCCCAAAAGUCCCCCAUACCCACCCCCCCAAUCCCCUACUCACCCACUCCCCCUUUUUGGCCCUGGCGUUCCCCUGUACUGGGGCAUAUAAAGUUUGCAAGUCCAAAGGGCCUCUCUUUCCAGUGAUGGCUGACUAGGCCAUCUUUUGAUACAUAUGCAGCUAGAGACAAGAGCUCUGGGGUACUGGUUAGUUCAUAUUGUUGUUCCACCUAUAGGGUUGUAGUUCCCUUUAGCUCCUUGGGUACUUUCUCUAGCUCCUCCAUUAGGGGCCGUGUGACCCAUCCAAUAGCUGACUGUGAGCAUCCACUUCUGUGUUUGCUAGGCCCAGGCAUAAUCUCACAAGUGACAGCUAUAUCUGGGUCCUUUCAGCAAAAUCUUGCUAGUGUAUGUGGUGUCAGCGUUUGGAAGCUGAUAAUGGGAUGGAUCCCUGGAUAUGGCAAUCACUAGAUGGUCCAUCCUUUCGUCACAGCUCCAAAUUUUGUCUCUGUAACUCCUUCCAUGGGUGUUUUGUUCCCAUUUCUAAGAAGGGGCUUUCUUUAGCUACAUGAGAUAAGCCUUUGGUAUUUAUCUGCGUAUUUAUAUGCACAUGUGCGUUUACAUAUAUCUAUGUAGAUAGAUUGAUGGAUUGAUGGAUAGAUAGAUUUGAUUCAACAAUGACUAACAUAUAAUAAGCAAUGUGUUUUACCUUUUAUUUUUAGAUAUUGCUGAAAUACCUAAGUACAACAUUUCUCAGAGCUGAGGUCAUAUAAACCAUUUCUUACAUUUAACCCUUGGGCUUCAAGUAGAGUUUAAUAAGGACAAACAUGAUAACAUGAAGUCAUCAAAAAUGAAAAAAAUUAAAAAAUCUAGGAGACUCAGGCUUUAACACGUUAGUGGUAUAAUAUGUGCUUAGGUGGUUAACAUUUUGAUCAUGUAAUGGUGAUAUUUUGAACUAAUCUACUUUCACGGUGUAAAAACUCAAACUCCCUUUAAACACUCAUAACAUUAUUCAGAAUAGCAUUUUAAUGCUACACCUAACACUUGUGUGAUAUCCUGUAAAAGACUACACACAUAUUCAACAUUCCUUCAUUUAAUUAUUAACAUUUAGCUAUUGAGUAAUGUAUAAAUCUGUCCUCUAGAUGAACAGAACUUAUAGAAGAAUCUAUCUAUUGAAAGGGGAUUUAUUAGAAUGACUUCCAGUCUGUGCUUCAGCUAAUUCAGUAAUGACUGCCUGUGGAGAUAAGUCCAAGAAUCCUAUAGUUGCUCGGUCCAUGAGGCUGGAUGUCUCAGAUGGUAAUGUCAGUGAGAGAGUGGACUUGAUAGUGAGAGUGGUAGCAAGCAGGCAAAGAGAGAGCAAGUUUCCUUCUCCCAUGUCCUUUAAGGCUGCCAGAAGAAACUAUGACCAAGAUUAAAGAUGGAACUCCCCACCUCAAAGAUCUAGAUUAGAAGCUGGUCCUCCCAUUUUAAAUGGCCUAAUUAAGAAAAAAAAAAAAAACCCUCAAGGGUGUGCCCAGUCUUCUGUAUAUUAUUAGUUAAGCCCAGGUGUGGUCAAGUAGACAACCAAGAUUAGGCAUCACUGACACUUUAGGAUACAGCUAUAUUUCACACAAUGGACAAUCUGAGAAUAUCAUUAAUGCCAAGCAUUUCCUAGAGAAAUAUAUUAUUUAGUGGUAUUCUAGUGAAGUAAUAGUUAAGGUUCUUUUCUACAGCACUGUCAGAAUCCUUAAACUUUACCUUGUAUUGAGUUCAAAACUAAAAUGCUGACUAAUUUAUACAUUUUUUUCAAAUCAUCCAUUGGAGGAUAGCCUACCAGAGGCCACAUCCUUAAAGAAAACUGACAGCAGAAACUACCAACUAUAGUAGAUAUCUUCUCAGCUAGGAAUAAAGACUUGUGGGCCCUUCCUGCUUCCAUAGGGCAGUGUUGGCUGGCAUUUUCCCCUGUGGUUCUUGUUCAGGCUUCCACAACUGCUGCUGCUAUGUUCUUGAGUGCAAAUUGUUCUUAACAGAGAAGGUGAUUAUAAAGGAAAGAGCUAGGCUCUGAAAAUUUUCCUUUUGUGGCAAAGCCAGCAAUCCCAUGAUAAGGCCCAUGCCAUACUGUUUAUAUUUGCAGCUUCCAGAACUGCAAAUUAAGUAAAACUUCUCAAAUAAUUAGCUUGUGUCCAGUGUUUUGCUGAGCAAUGGAAAGCAAAUUAGUUCAGUUAAUCAUGGGUCAUGAUGUGUGUUUGUGUGUGUGUGUGUGUGUGUGUGUGUGUGUGUGUGUGGUGUCAUCUAUCUAUACUUUAUACUAAUUAUCUCCUCUGUCUUUUUUAUAUGUAUUUCUUUAGAUUGUUCAUGUAGAAAUAUCUAGCCCUAUAUGUUCAAAGUUCAUUAUGUAGUUAAAGACAUUUUUAUCAAGUCUUGUUAGUUACUCAUUUGAUUCCUGUUCUAAUUAUGGACAGAGAUUUUUCUUUCAGUAAUUUCUCCUUUAAGCUCCUCACAUCACUUAGUACCAAGCUGAUAAGUAGCAAAUAAUCUUAAGUGCCAACGAAUUGAUUAACGAAGUUACAUUUUGCUAGA